Molecule: long non-coding RNA, 79071 nt
Filed under: Vitis vinifera (wine grape)
Lineage: Eukaryota; Viridiplantae; Streptophyta; Magnoliopsida; Vitales; Vitaceae
Description: long non-coding RNA (VVIN_LNC007361)
Source: RNAcentral
CUAGGCCAUGUAAAUUUUUAAAAAAAUUUUAAAUCAGGUCCAAAAAGAGUUUUAAGCCCAAUCAAAUUUGCCAGCAGCUUCACAUGGCAAUAAUUUUACAUAGAGAUACAUGGUUGAUACACCUAUUAAAAUUCUUGUUGCAUUUUUUCUUUCUUUCUUUUUUCCGUUUUCAAUAUGCUUCAAUUUCAUGAUGCAAGGGGCCUUACAUCUGGUGGUUCAUUUUGCUUAAAGCCAGAAUACUAUUUCCAUCACCAUUAAUAAAUACAAGGUAAUUAAGAUUUUGCUUGAGUUCUGUUUGAUUUUAAACCAAAUUUGCAUCUUAUUAUGCUAAUGAAGCCUCUUAUUUGAUUUUACUGUGUACCUUAAUCACUCAGGCAUGCUCCCUAAUUUAUUAUUCCCUUUGCUUGGAAAUAUGUACUACAGAAGCAGAGGUAUCACUCUCUCAACUUUNNNNNNNNNUUUUUCUGCUUAUGCAUACAAGGCAACAAGCUAAAAGAGCUUAGGGUGUGUUUGGGAGUUGUUUUCAAAAAUGGUUUUCUAUUUUUAAGAAAAAAAAAAGUCAUAACAUGUUUGAUAAUCAGAAAACAAAAAACAAAGUGUUUUCCAAGAAUAUAUUUUAAUUGUUUUUGGUGGUUUUAACUUUUUUCUAAAUAUUGUUUUAAAAAUAAUUAUACAAAUAUGGAGAAUGAUUGAAAAUUAAGUAUUUACAAAUUAAAGUUAUUUAAAAAAAUAUUUAAAAAUAUAGAAAAUAGGUUAAACACAUUUCAGAUUUUCAAACAAGAUUUGUCAAAUUUAUAGGAAGUGAAUUGGCAUUUUCCUCAAAACUUUGAUUUUGCUUUUUAAUAUUUUAUUCUAUUUUAUGACAACAGUAUUUUCUUGUACCUCUCCCUUAAAUUUGAAACUAGUUUUUCUGAUUUUUUGAUUGGUGAGUAUAACCUAAUUUAAUUUCCCCAUCAUAGUAGGACUAAAAAGUGGAGAUUCUUAUGGAAUGAAAGAAAUGCAAUCAACUCUCACACUAUGAUGAACUGUGAGCAUAUUUGAAUAUUUUGAUGGUAUUUAUUCUAUUUCACCAAAUACUAAUGGAAAGUUAUUCAUUACUUGAAUCAUUCUAACAAGCAAUUGAGCUGGUACAUCACAAACUGAAUUGAUAGGACAAUGAUAGUGACAAUAUUCUUAGCAAGUUUGGGUCAUGUAUUACGUAUAAGGUUUCUUCAGUUUUUACAAGAUGUUUUAUGGUGAAUUACACCCUUAUGACACACGCAAACCCAAAAAAAAAAAGGAUUUUAAGUCAUUUCUUUUUUUCCCUUUUGUUAAUUUGGUAUGGGCAGGUGGUCUUAACAAAGGAGCUCAAUGAGUUAGAACUACAGCCUCACUGUCCCAAAGUGAAACGGUCAAAGCUUGUAAUAAGCUCCAGCUAAGGUAGGUAACUGUUACUAUAUUCUGCUUGUUUUCUUGUCAUAUUCAAUUGGGUGAAUAACAAGUCUAAUAUGAAAAAAUUUAAAAAAAAAUACUAUAUGCUCUUUUAGAAUUCUAGAAGUGUGUCCUUUAAGUGAAAUUUAUUUUUGUCUUAUCUGCUUUUUAGAGUCUAUGAAAAAAAUUAUUCAAUUCUAUGCAAAAAUUUAUUUUAUAUCUAUUUUUAUCUUCUAAGUUUGCUUUUGAGAUGUUUUCUUUCCAUAUAUGGAAUGGUUAUAAUUUUAAUAUUUUGUGCUAUGGAUCAAGCUUAAUCUUUAAAAAUGACAAUCAUUUUGAAUAUUAUCUGCUCUAUAGGAAGCUCCUACAACCAGGUCAUAUUCCUAAUUGACUCUGUUUUUGAGAAAUCAGGAUACUUUGGGUGGAUUUUCCUUCACAUGAAUAAUUGUAAGUUUGAUAAUUUGUGAGCAUUCGUACUGUAGAUACUUGUGACAAAGUUUGUCUUAAGAAUAGGAUGAAUUCUCAUUAUUACUCACUAGAUGUUUUUUUGCAAUUAACAUAAGGAUUCAUCUUCUAAAGUACUCUUGGGAGUGAGGAAUCCUUCUCAAAAGCCUUGGAAUCGAGCACAAAUUUGAAAUUUCAAUCUGCAAUGAGGUAAAGAGCAAAGGAUUCAUGUUAUUUAGUGGCUUACUUUAGAUGGUAUAUUCAUUGUGACAAGAAGAAGUUUUAAUGCAGUCUUUGAUCUUGUUUAGAUAUACUUUUAAAGAAAAAAAAACAAAAAUAACAAUUAUUUCUAAAAAGUAGAAACUCUUGUACAAAAAGUAUAGACUUACCUUUUAUUUUUUUUUUAAAUUACAUAAAAAAAUUUUAAAAUUUGAGGUAAGAAAACAUUUUUAAUACUUCAAAAUUUUAAACAAUUUUUAAAACUAUUAUCAUGUGAAUGUAAGUCUUUAAUUCUUUUUGUAUUUUUAUAUAAACAAGCUAUUUUCUCCUUUUAAAAAUAUAAAACAGUAAAUGCAUCUAAGCAAAUACUUAAUUACACGUUUGUCUCUUGGUAAUUCAACUCCUCUAUGCUCUCUCUUAUUAUUUUAUUGCCUCUGUUUUGAAUUUUAGGAUAUGGGCCUGGUUUCAUCCAAAAGCUUCCUAUAGUUGACUAAUUCAUGAAUUUGAAAAUUUUGGCGGAUAGAAGAACAAGCACAUAUCUUCUGCAAGCAUUUGAAAACUUGUGCAUCAGUGCAUCAAUGGUUGUACUAGUGCUCAUGGAGAUUCAAAUAUGUGAAAUGGUAAUUGUGAGAUUGAAAUCCUGACCAUGAGACUAGCAGACGAGUCUUGGUGAACUUGAGAGUUUUGCCAUUCUCUUUCCUUGUGGAUCAUUCUCAAUACAAGUUGUUCUCCCAUUAUGUUUUAACAGUAUGUAAUACUCUAAAUGGUAAAUUAUGCCUCAGUUGAUCAUCUUUGAAUUACAAUUAGAUGUUAUUAAUGUUUACUUCAACAACUACAUAAUCUAUAGUUUAUUUUUAGUUUCCUUAUUUACUAAAAACUACCUAAUAAGAUUAAGUAGCUAAGUCACAUUUCUCUGCUAUGUACAUAUUUUCUCUAUUUAAGUUCACUUGCUAUUAACAACAUCAACUAAUAUAAAAAGAUUCAGUUUUGGGUUACAAACUUCAUUGCUAUUAUAAAAACUAUUUUGUAACAAGUUCAAGUAGUGACCCAUCAAUCUUUUGCAAUUUUUGAAGAAGAAAUGUUAGUAGUACUUGUCGUUUGAGAAAAUUUCCCUAUGGUACAUCUAUUUUAAAAUCUAUCUGGAUUUAAAAGGAAAAAAGAAAGAAAGAAAGAAAGAGAGAAAGAGAGAAAGUUAACCCUCAACGACCUAAUACCACAUAGGUCCAUGUGGUGAUCUAAAUUAUUUUCUAAGUAUCCAACUAAGAAGAAAUGAGGGUGGAUUAUUCUUGGAUAUAAUGCAAAAUAAUGAUGAUUAAUAUUAAAAAUAUUGAUAAUAUUAUCUCUCUUAUUAUUAAAAAAUCUUUUACUUUUUGAUGAUUUGAAAUACUUUUUAUCAAAUGUAAGUCAUAUUUGUGAUAAAGUAUUUUAAGUUAUUUUUAAACUAACAUGUUGCAUCAUAUAAGGAUGCUCAAAAUGAUCAAACCAGUUUGGUAGGCCAUAAAAGUGAAAAAGUUUACAACAUUGGUAUGUAAAUAUAUGAAGACUACGAAAAAUGUUUUUCAAAGUGAGUUACAACAUAUGAGGUGUGGACAUGCUUGUUGAGACAAAACUCUCAAAAGCAUGACAUAAUGUAACAAAAUAAAAUUUUAUUAAUACAUAUAUAUAUAUAUAUAUAUAUAUAUAUAUAUAUAUAUUAUAAUUUUUUUCUCCAAUAUUCUAUCCAUGUUUGCAUUGAUCUUUAUUUAAGCAUUCAAGUUUCCAUCACUUUUAUCAUACAUGGCUUGGGUGCAAUAAAAGUUGCAUGAAAUAUCUAAGUUAUGUAUUUCUUGCAAGUUGAUGAAUUGUUCAUAACCAAUUCGUGGACUUAGGCAAUCCAUUUGAGGUAAUAUAUACUAACUCUUAAUUGGAGGAAUAAGGACUUGUUUGUCGGGGAUAAAACCCAAACAAAUCAUGACAUCAUGUAACAAAUCAUAUUUUAGUUUUCACUAUUAUAUUCUCAUUUGUAUUAAUACUUGUUUGAGCAUUCGAGUUUACAUUAUACAUGACUUAAGAACAUUAGAAGUUUCAUGAAAGAUCCAAAUCAUAAAGUCCUUAUAAGUUGAUGAAUUGUUCAUAGUUUAUAACUUACACAAUCCUUCUAAGGUUGUAGUGAACUAUCUCAUAAUUGGAGGAAUGACUUAUCUUAGUUAUCGGGUUAGAAUAUACAAUAUCAUCUUAUGGGAUCAGUGUGACUUGCAUUGCCAGGGGACAUCUUCUUUUCUGGCUGGACGUGAUAGCCACAUUUAUGAGAUGUAAAGUUUGCCUCACUUUGGACUUGGGAAGUGUCAUUCCAAGGUGGACAAACUCAGCCACGCUCAAAUUAAUGGAUGAUGCAUUACCUAUGGAAGGAAAUGGCAUUUGCAAGGAUUUAGGCUACCUGGGCAACCCAGCAGAGUGACAUCAAAAUCAGUAAAGCCUAAGUCUUCAACUGUGCAAGCAAAUGGCAACUUCUGAUCUUGUAUUAGUACACCAGUGCCAUGUCAGUCAUCCGCACCAACAGAAUAGUCACCUAAGCCUCCCCGGGGCCCAUUUUUCCAACUCCUGCAUUACAUGGCCACCUUUUCCUCUUGCUACUUUUCUUUUAUUUUUCUUUGUGAUCUUAUAUGUUUUGAAUUGGUUUCAAACUUUCUUUUUUUCUAUUAAAAUAAUCUCAGUUUUUUAAAUUUCAUCCUUUGGAGAUACUAGAAAAUAAAAUUCAGUUUUGAUAAACUAGUUGCCAUUUUUUUUUUUCCGUUUUUCAUGUUUUUAAUAAGCAUGAAUACCAUUUUACAAUUUAAAAAUAAUGAAAUAUAUGGAAUUAAUUCAUGCAAAAAUAAAUUGAUCAUUGGUGGGGCCCAACACAUGAGACAUUCUCCAUUCGUUUGUUGAUUCUGAUUGCUAUAUUUAUUCAAUAUUAAUUUAUUUUUGCCUUGCUCUAUGACUUACGUGAGAUAUUUUGUGCUUGUCAUUAUUGAGUUAACCAUGUUUUUCAUGCAAACACUAUUGAUUUGCUGCUCAAGUAUGCUCCCAUCUUCAUCUUAAUUAUUUAUUCAUUAAUGUGCAAGAUUUGCUUUCAUUCUAUAUGGUCUUUGGUAUCCACAAUUAAUUGAUCAUUUGUCACACUUGUCUUAACUGAUUAGUAGAAACCUAAUUUUUAGGGUUUAGAUGGGUGUUACGGUCUAUCGUUGUACCUUCUUGAUAGGUAACCUGAUCACUAGACCUCGACUCAAUUUUUCUCAGACUUGUAUUUUCCUUCAUGAGUCACACUUAUAGUUUUUCUCUAUUAUUUUGUUUUUCCCUUUAAAAAUGAUAAAUAAAUGGUGUCUCCAAAAAUAAUUUUCAAAAAAUCAAAAUUUUCACAAUAAAAAACAAGUCUCACCAUAGAGUGGGGACGCAUGCAAAAGAUGCGAGGUCCAUACCAACCUAUCUAAUCAAGGUCAACCUCUCUAAUCAAAGGCCGACUCCUAUAUUAGCUACUACCAACAUUAAAAUAGGACAACGUAGAAGAGGAUAAGUCGACCUCUCCAUCCAUGGGUUGGCCCCUCUUUUUGCUACCUUGGGCAUCAUUUUAAUGCAUGUUCUACAAUUUUACCUUGCCACUGUCCAUCAUAAAUAUGAUUUGAAAACCAUAAAAUGUGAAGAUCUAAAAUUGGAAUUGUGUCAAAUGCUCUUCAUCCACGAAAAUAACUUAACAAAAUUUUCUAUAGCUAAAAUUGGAUGUUGCCAAUUAAUGAAUAAGUGAAAUUACAAAAUAGAAAACAUGAGUAAAAGAGAUUUCUAAUAUUAUGAAGUGGAACAAAAACAUAAGCAAAUGUUCCUCAUUGACCAAACACAUUAAGAAGCUCAAUGAUUCUAUUUUUUAAAGAAAUAUGCAUGGCAAAGAGACUGUAAAACAAAAGUUUGACUAAUUUCGGUUUUGUUAAUAACAAAACAAGGUUUGAAACUAAUAAUUUAUUUUAAGUGUUUUUUAGCAAGAGUAAUUCCAAAGAACCAAUCACAACAACAUAAUAAAGUGAAAUCAAGAAAAAAGAGAAGACCUUAAAGAGGAAAUCAAGCAAGACUCAUGUCUAGGAUCUUUUUAUAAAAUUGUUGAUGCACUAGGUUCAAAGUGCAUUUUAUUUUUAUUCAAGUACCUAAAAUCAUCCAAUUUUCUAAAUCGACUUUAUUCUUUUAUAAAGUAAUGAAGAAUCUUUCUAAAUGAAAACCAACUACUAUUCAUGUUUAAAAGGUCUUUAAAAUGAAAAGGAGUUUAUCUACCUAGGUUUUCCUAAGAAUUUUGUGAAAAUUAUAGAAUUCAUUUAUGCAUAUUUCAAUGAAUUUUACACGUCAAAAUUAAAAUUGAUUAUUUCAAGGAUAAAAACUCAUAUUUUGACAUAUAUUUCAUCAUUUAAAUGGGUACUUUUUUCAAUAUUAUGUUUUCAUAUUAAAAUAAUUUGAGUCAUUAAAAGUCAUUUAUGUAUCAAUUUUCCAUAUUUUGCAUAUGUUUGAUUGAAGUGACUCAAUUGGUUGAAUUGGUUAUUGUUCACUCAAUUGAUUGAGGAUUGGUAGAAUUGGUUGAGCUCCUAUGAUGUAAUAGUCAUUUUUUUGUAUCUUCUAUCACCCAAAACUAGUGACCAAUUGCUUUGUGUACCAUUUAUUAUAGAUUUUUUAUUCCAUUGUACCAAUUUAUAAACUAGAAGUUAUAUUCUUGCCAAAUCUUUUCUCAUAUACCUUGUGAGGUAGGCUCAUGUGUGGGGUAAUACUUGAGGAAUUCCAAAUGUGGUGUGAUCUUAAAGGUGUUUUGUAAAUGGUGCUUGAAAUCAUUUUCUAAAAGAGUACUUGGAGUCACAAGUUUAAAAGGAUUGAUUAGAAUUAUAAUCCAAUUGUGAAACUUGAAGACUCGGAUUGAAGCUUUGAUUUAUAGAACCCUCACUCAAUUAAAAGUUUAAGGAGAUGGAUGUAGGCGGACUUGUGCCGAACCAUUCAUAAAAACUAGUACUUGCAUUUGUGUUUUCUCCACGUACUUGCAAUAUCACUUACUUUCUAAAUUUAAAUUUGUAAAAAGUGACUAUUACUAUUCACCUCUUUUGUAAAGUGAUUAAUUACCUUACAUUGGUAUACCUCAAAUUGUAAUAAAAACCACAAAACAUAAGAACAACAAAAUCAAACACUUAUCCUAUAGGAUAGUGUGAAUACUUAUAUAAAACCAAAUCAGAUUUUUUAUUCAAGCCUUCUUGAAAGGGAACAAUGAUAAUCAUAUAGCAAAAAAGCUUGAAGAAAGAAUUAAGGUCAUAUGCAAAGAGCUCGUCUUUUUUCCUUUGUUAGGGCAUUGUUUUUGGGAAAAGUUAUGAAGGAGACAUGAGGAAAUGUGCGGAAAUUCAUUUUUCAUUUUUUAUUUUUUUUUAAAGUCCAAGUGUUUUGAUUACGUGGCAUUUGACGGCAAUCCCACAUCGAAUUGCUUAUGUGGCUGGAGGAGUAUGGGCAAAUAUGGAAUUCUUAUUUUAACAUCCUUGAAGUGCUUAUUUGAGAGACCAUUUCUACAUGAUGUAGCUGGUAUUUGCCCUUAGGAUUUUCUAAACAUAGAGCAGUGUGUAUCAUACUCUCUCUUCAGUAAUUGAAUGGCAGUACACACCACAUCAACCACCACAGCAAUCCACACCUCUUGGUCAAUUCUUCACAUUAUUUUUUAAACCCUCACAUACAAUUGGCUAUAAUAUAACAUGGAGUUGCAUGCAUAAUUGAUCUUUUUAUAUCAAACAGCAUAUGUUUCCAUGUUUAAAUAAUUUUAUUUUACGAGGUUGUUUCCCAACUUCUCCAUUAAAAUUUGUAUUAGUUUAUAUAUUUUCCAAACACGGAUCAGUGCAGCCCAUGUGCCCCUCUCUCUGCCACGCUUUCCUUUUCCAAACCUUGUUGACCCAGCAACCACCAUUGCAAUCUACACCAGUUGCUCACGUCUGCGCUGAUAAAAUUUUCAAUCUCGCUUGUUUCUUUUGUCUCCACUGCCUGCCCUUCGAUUUCUGGAAAGAACUAGCCGAUGGAGGUUGUUGGAGAGUCUGUUCUUUCUGCUGCCCUCCAAGUUCUGUUCGGUAAGUUGGUUUUCCCUGAGUUGCUCAACUUUGCUCUGCAAGAGGGGGUCAUUGCUGAACUUGAAAACUGGAAGGAGAAACUGAUGAUGAUUAAUGAAGUGCUGGACGAAGCUGAGGAGAAGCAGCAUCAAAGCCGUCCGUGAAAAACUGGCUUGACAAUCUCCGAGACUUGGCUUACGACAUGGAAGAUGUGCUGGAUGAGUUCGCGACCGAGCUGUUGCGACGCAGGUUGAUGUCAGAAGGUGCUGAUCAGGUGGCCACCACAAGUAAGGUACGGAGCCUCAUCCCGACUUGCUUUACUGGUUUCAAUCCUGUUGAUGAAGUUAAGUUUAAUAUUGAGAUGGGGACCAAGAUCAGGAAAUCACUAGGCGGUUAGGCGAUAGUUCAACCCGGAAAGCUGAGCUGGGUUUUGAUAUGGUCCCGGGUGUUGAAACAAGUUGGGAAGUUUUGCAUCUGGAGCAGCUUCUACUUGGCAACGACCCCCUUCUACAUCUUUGAUUAACGAAGCUGUUCACGGCAGGGAUAAAGAUAAAGAAGUCAUUAUUGAGAUGCUGUUGAAGGAUGAAGCAGGUGAAAGCAACUUUGGGUAAUUCCCAUUGUAGGUAUAGGUGGGAUGGGGAAAACUACACUGGCCCAGUUGAUAUACAGGGAUGAAGAAAUAGUGAAGCAUUUUGAGCCAAGGGUGUGGGUGUGUGUAUCAGAUGAGAGAGAUGUAGAGAAGUUAACGAAGAUAAUUCUCAAUGCCGUCUCUCCGAAUGAAGUCCGUGAUGGGGAUAACUUUAAUCAAGUGCAGCUCAAGUUAAGCAAUAACCUGGCUGGAAAAAGGUUUUUGCUAGUUUUGGACGAUGUGUGGAACAUCAACAAUUAUGAGCGAUGCCAAUGAACAUCCAAAUUUGGAAUUAAUUCAACAAAGGAUCGUAGAGAAAUGUAGUGGCCUGCCCUAAGCAGCAAAGAUGCUUGGUGGGCUUCUACGCUCCGAACCACAGGAUCGAUGGGAACGUGUACUGAGUAGAAAAAUUUGGAAUAAGAGUGGUGUUUUGCCAGUGCUAAGAUUAAGCUAUCAACAUCUCCCUUCACAUCUAAAAAGAUGUUUUGCUUAUUGUGAGUUGUUUUCAAAGGACUAUGGAUUUAAGCAAAAAGAGCUAAUUUUAUUGUGGAUGGCAGGGGAUUUAAUUCACCAAGCAGAAGAAGAUAACUGUCAAAUGGAAGAAGAUCUAGGUGUUGAUUAUUUUAAUGAAUUGUUAUCAAGAUGCUUUUUCCAACCAUCAAGUGAUAGUAAAUCCAAAUUCAUAAUGCAUGACUUGAUUAAUGAUCUUACUCAAGAAGUUGCUACAAAAAUAUGUUUCAAAUUUCGAGAAUAUACAUAAGGUCUCUCAAAGGACUCGUCAUUUAUCAUUCGUGCGUGGUGAGUAUGAUGUGUUCAGAAAAUUUGAAGUCCUCAAUAAACCAGAGCAAUUAAGAACAUUUGUUGCACUACCCAUCACACUAGAUACUAAGAAGAAAUGCUACUUAAGUAAUAAGGUGCUUCAUGGCUUGUUGCCAAAGUUGGGACAAUUGAGGGUGCUCUCUUUGAGUGGUUAUGAAAUAAAUGAGUUACGGGUCAAUUGGUGAUUUGAAACAUUUACGAUUUCUUAAUCUUGUCUUCUACAAAAAUCAAACAGUUACCUAAAACAGUGAGUGGUCUUUACAACUUACAAUAGUUGAUAGUAUGCAAUUGUGUGCAACUUAUUAAUUUACCUAUGAGCAUCAUAAAUUUAAUUAAUCUUCGCCAUCUUGAUAUUAGAGGUUCAACUAUGUUGAAAAAGAUGCCUCCACAAGUUGGCAAGUUGAUAAAUUUGCAAAUGUUGAAUAGGUAUUUUCUAAGCAAGGGUAAUGUGUCACAAAUAAAAGAAUUGAAGAACUUGUUGAAUCUCCGAUGAGAGCUUAGCAUUUCAGGUUUGGAGAAUAUUUUGGAUCCAAGAGAUGCGAGGUAUGUCAAUUUGAAGGAGGGAUGGGAUAUUGAAGUCUUAAUCAUGGUAUGGAGUGAAAAGUAUGGAAAUUCAAGGAAUGAAAGCACCGAGAUAGAGGUCCUUAAGUGGUUGCAACCUCAUCAAAGUUUGCAAAAACUGGAUAUUAGAUUUUAUGGUGGCUUAAAAUUCCCAAAUUGGAUAGGAGAUCCAUCCUUCUCCAAAAUAGUGUAUCUAGAUCUUAUAAAUUGUAAAAAUUGCACAUCUUUGCAGGGGGACUACCUUUCCUCAAAAACUUGGUGAUUGAAGGCAUGAAUGAAGUUAAAAGCAUAGGCGAUGAGUUCUAUAGGGAGACUGCGAAUCCUUUUUAGGCUUUAGAACAUCUGAGAUUUGAGAAAAUGCCCUAAUGGAAAGAUUGGUUAAUUCCUAAAUAGGGUCAUGAGGAAACCCAAGCAUUGUUUCCUUGCCUCUGUGAGCUUAUAAUAAUAAAAUGUCCAAAACUCAUCAACUUAUCUCAUGAGUUACCUUCCCUUGUGACGCUUCAUGUUCAAGAAUGCCAAGAAUCAGAAAUUUCAAUUCCACGACUUCCAUUUCUUAUUAAAAUAAUAGUAGUUGGGUUGUUAAAAAGUUGGGUUGUUGAUGUCCCCUCACUCACCCAAUUAUACAUUUAGAAGAUUUCAAGCCUGAGUUGUUUAUGGGAAAGGCUUGCACGGAGCUUAAUAGCCAUUGAAGAUCUGGGAAUUGCUGAAUGUGAUGAACUGGCAUGUUUGAGGAAGCCUGGAUUUGAACUGGAAAACCUUGGUGGUCUGCGACAUUCAUGGAUCAAAGGGUGUCAUGGGGUUGUAUCCUUGGAAGAGCAGGGGCUGCCUUGCCAUCUUCAAUACUGGGAAGUGAAUGGAUGUUACAACUUAGAGAAGCUGCCUAACGCAUUACACACCUUCACAUCUCUUACAGAUUUGCUAAUUCAUAAUUGCCCAAAACUGCAGUUGUAUACUUAAGUACGUGGAGAUUAAAGAGUGUCCAUUUUUUAUUGAAUUUCCAAAAGGUGAGCUACCCGCCACCCUCAAGAAGUUGACGAUUGAAGAUUGUAGGAGACUAGAGUCUCUACUUGAGGGAAUUGACAGCAACAACACUUGUCGACUUGAAUGGCUACAUGUAUGGGGAUGUCCAUCUCUCAAGUCCAUUCCAAGAGGCUACUUUCCCUCCACACUUGAGAUACUUUCCAUUUGGGACUGCGAGCAAUUGGAGUCGAUUCCAAGGAAUCUGCUGCAAAAUCUCACAUUUCUUCGACUUCUGAACAUAUGUAAUUGUCCAGAUGUGGUGUCCUCUCCAGAAGCGUUUUUGAACCCUAACCUUAAACAACUUUCUAUUUCAGAUUGUGAGAAUAUGAGGUGGUCUCCAUCUGGGUGGGGCCUCGACACACUCACCUCUCUUGGUGAGCUAUUUAUUCAAGGCCCAUUCCGAGAUCUGCUUUCUUUUUCUGGCUCUCACCUUCUUCUUCCUACUUCUCUCACCACUCUCCGGUUGGGAAAUCUCCGCAAUUUGAAAUCCAUAGCCUCCACAAGUCUACAAAGCCUCAUCUCUCUUAAAACCCUUGAAUUCCACAUUUGCCCUAAGUUCCGGUCCUUUAUGCCAAAUGAAGGGCUGCCAGCAACACUUGCAAAACUUGUAAUCAGGGAAUGUCCCGUUCUAAAAGGGCGGUGCCUCAAGGACAAAGGAAAAGAUUGGCCUAAGAUUGCCCACAUCCCCUACGUGCAAAUAGAUGGCAUUGUACAACAAUUAAAAAGCAAAUAAUAACUUCAAUCAGGUACUCUCAAUUCUCUGUAAUCUUCCAUCAAAAGUUCGACAUUCUAAUUGCUACUGUCUCUAUAAUAUUUGAGCCUCCCUUUUGUUCUGUAAUCAGGGGUUUAACAUGGUCAACAAUAAGCUACGAUGUUUUGUGCUCAAAACUUCGACUCUCACGAAUGUGUGCCCUUAGCUUUUUCCUUGCUUUUAGGAUGACAGGCCUUCCUACCUUAGUUUAAUAACUGGGUAUUUGGCACUGCCCUCUUCCAAAAUAGAGGUGCGUAUUAAUGCAUUGAAUUGUAAGUUCUGAUAGAACACAAUUUCACGAUUUUCAACUCAACAUAUUGCUUUCAUUUUCUAAUAAUAUUGAUGGAAUUUAUGUUGCACAUAUAGGAUUGCAGGAAAAGGGAUUGAUGUAGAGAUGAAAGUAAAAUUCCCUGCCAUUUGUAUCUGCAAGGGUAAAUACAAAAUUCCUACUAAGGGAUGGGCAGCUUGGUCAACUUGUAGAACUAACCCACAACAAUGGACCCUGAAUCUGGUACUCCUUUUUGCUUAAAGCCAGUAAACAAUUUCAAUCACCAUUACUUAAUAAAAGCUAUUCAUGAUUUUGUUUUAGUUCCGUUUCAUUCCAAUCUAAAUUUGAAUCUCAUUAUGUUAAUGAAGCCCUUUUAUUUUAUUUUGUUUUGUACUUUAAUCACACAGGAAUGCUCCCUUAUUCAAUGCCUAGGUUUUCUAGGAUUCUGGCAUUUACUUGGAAAUAUGUAUUGCAAAAAUGGGAGAGGUAUAACUUUCUCAAAAUUUGAAACUGAACAUUGCAUUUCAUCAGGUUGUCUUUAACUUUCUCAUCUUUUUUCUCUCUUUCUGCUUAUGCCACUUCAACUUUUUUGACUAAUUACAUGACAUUGUAAUUGUUGUUGGCCUAGAUAGUACCCUUUCUACUGGGAAUUGGUAUGUCAAGUGGUUCAGGAUGCACAGAAAGGGAAUAUAUCCCAGGUUGUUCUUUUUCUCAUUAUCUCUCUUCUCACUUUUAUUGAUUUCAAAUGUGUUCUUUCAGAUUUAUAUUAACAUAAUAUAAAUUGAAGAUAAAAUCCUCUAAUGACAGGUGGUAGUUAGGUCUUUGUAAGUUAGUCGUUGAAAGUAAAUAAGAGAGGGCAAUUAUUGGUUCAAUCAACAAUUAAUACCUCGACAUGUGCUUUGGUCUAGGUGCAAGAAAUGAGAUUGAACAAUGCCCUCCCUCUGCUUCCCGCCUUUUCUUUUCUUUGUAUUUUUUAUUUUUUAUUCUUAUUUCUUUCAUUUUUUUUCUCUUUAUAUUUGUUGAAAUUUGGCAUUCAAAGAUAGGGUUUUAAUUUAGGAAAGUAUUUUAGGAAUAAAAAAAUGAGAGAUCAUUUAGGAUAUUUCCUUAGGAUUCAGUUUCCUAAUUUUAGGAAAGAAUCAAGCUAGAUUGAUAUUUUCUUAUUCUGUCAUUUUGUGUAUAUAUAUGUGUAUGAUGUGUACCGAAUAAUCAUCAAUAAAAAGGAAUUAAAAAAUUCUUCAUGGUAUCAGAGCCAGUUUUCUGAAACCCUAAUCCCUUCUGGCCGCCUCUUACUCAGGCCAUCAUUCAUUUCGGCCAAGUCUCUCUGGCCAUCUCUCAAUCCGACCAUCUCUCUCUCUGGCCAUCUCUCAUUUCGGCCAUCAGUCCCUGUUCUCAGAGCCAAGGGAGAAAACGUUUUUCAGUCGGUCGACUCGUCGUUAGAAAACAUUCACCGCCGGUGACUUUUCCGGCGAAUUUUUCCGACGACGUCUUUUUCCCACACCGCAAGGAGCGCCUGGAGGAGAUCACCAAUUUUUCCCAAAGCACCGGAGCCAGAAAACCACCCACGCGCCGACCACGUGCGUUUUUCUGGUCGACGACUGUAUCUCACGCGUCGGCGCAUGAGGACGUGUGAGCCACUUUCCGGUGACGCGCUUCCUCCUCCAGCCUCGCUUGACGCCGACUAGCCACCCUUCAUACCAGUUCUGCCAUCCGAGCCUUGCACAUACCUCUUUUGGAGUUCUUUUGCCUCCGCGGGCCCUCCGAACAGUUUUUCCGGCGUCCUCCGGCUAUUUUUUUCUCAACCCCAAUCCCUGUACGUGCCUUGGGAAUUGUUCUUCUACCUUUCCGGUGGUGCCACGGUUGUUUUUCUUUUCCAUUAGGCCGGUAUCUCUGAUUUUCUCUCUCUAACCAUAUUCGGCUGUCUUCCUCAUCUUCAUGACAAAAUACGGAAUGACAUCAUCACAAGUAUCCAGCGUCAUGACACCAAAAUCAGGGGGCAGUUCUGAAAUUCCAAACCUUGGUGGCAGUGAUUCCUCUUCUAUUCUCAUCACAGGACACAAAUUAAAUGGCCAUAACUAUUUAUAGUGGUCACAAUCUGUGUUGCUGUUCAUUUGCGGUAAAGGAAAUGAUGAGUACCUCAUUGGAGAAGCAGCCAUGCCAGAAACUACAGAACCGGGUUUCAGGAAGUGGAAGAUUGAAAACAGCAUGAUCAUGUCAUGGCUUAUCAAUUCCAUGAACAAUGACAUAUGUGAAAAUUUUUUGCUGUUUNNACUGCAAAGGACAUUUGGGAUGCAGCCAAAGAAACUUACUCAAGUUCUAAAAANNNNNNNNNNNNNNNNNNNNNNNNNNNNNNNNNNNNNNNNNNNNNNNNNNNNNNNNNNNNNNNNNNNNNNNNNNNNNNNNNNNNNNNNNNNNNNNNNNNNUUGAAUCAGCCCUACAUGACUUCCGCCAAGGAGAGCAGUCAGUUACUUAGUAUUACAACACACUCACAAGGUAUUGGCAGCAACUUGACUUAUUCGAGACUCAUGGAAAUGUUCGGAUGAUGCAGCAACAUACAGGAAAAUUGUGGAACAAAAGAGACUGUUCAAGUUUUUCCUAGGACUAAACAGGGAAUUGGAUGAUGUUAGAGGCCGAAUCAUGGGCAUUAAACCCCUGCCAAGUCUUAGGGAGGUUUUUUCAGAGGUUAGGCGUGAAGAAAGUAGAAAGAAAGUGAUGAUGGGAUCCAAAGAGCAACCUGCCCCAACAUUAUAUGCCUUUGCCCUUGCUGCUCGGUCAUUUAAUAGUAGUGGUGGAGAUUGUCAGAAACGGGAUAGGCCUUGGUGUGAUUAUUGUAAGAAACUAGGCCAUUAUAAGGAGGCUUGCUGGAAGCUUCAUGGCAAACCGGCUGAUUGGAAACCAAAGCCACGGUCUGAUAGAGAUGGUAGAGCACACGUGGCUGCCAACUCUGAGAGCACAUCUAUUCCCGAGCCGAGUCCAUUCAACAAAGAGCAGAUGGAGAUGCUACAGAAACUAUUAAGCCAAGUUGGCAGUGGCAGUACUACCGGGAUAGCCUUCACUGCUAAUCAAGGAGGAAUGAAGUUGUGGAUAGUGGACACAGGUGCUUCUGAUCACAUGACAGGAGAUGUUGCCAUUCUUCAAAAUUACAAGCCAAGUAAUGGUCAUUCAUCCGUCCAUAUUGCUGAUGGUUCAAAGUCAAAAAUUGUCGGGACAGGUUCCAUAAAACUUACUAAAGACUUGUAUCUUGACUCUGUCCUUCAUGUUCCAAACUUGGAUUGUAAUCUUUUGUCCAUUAGCAAAUUGGCCCAUGAUCUCCAAUGUGUUACUAAAUUUUAUCCAAACUCGUGUGUUUUUCAGGACUUGAAAUCGGGGAAAAUGAUUGGCAGUGGUGAACUGUGUUCCAGGCUCUACCUCCUCCCAUGUGGCCAAUUCUCAAACCAAGUCUCUCAAGCAAGUUGCGUAUAGUCUCAGAGUAUGUUAGAGUCUUUCAAUUCUGUGUCAAAUUCUAAGGUCAAUAAAGAUAGUGAGAUUAUAAUGUUACACUAUUGCCUUGGUCAUCCUAGCUUUUUUUACCUUACAAAAUUGUUUCCCAAAUUAUUUAUCAAUAAAAAUCCAGCAUCUUAUCACUGUGAAAUUUGUCAGUUUGCAAAGCAUACUCGAACAGUAUAUCCUCAAAUCCCAUACAAACCUUCAACUAUUUUCUCUUUAGUACAUAGUGAUGUGUGGGGUCCCUUACGGAUAAAAAAUAUUUCUGGCACUCGAUGGUUUGUGACAUUCGUUGAUGAUCAUACACGGGUAACAUGGGUUUUCCUUAUGAAAGAAAAGUCAGAGGUCGGGCACAUUUUUCAAACCUUCAAUCUUAUGGUUCAAAAUCAAUUCAAUUCCAAAAUUCAAGUCCUCAAGUCAGAUAAUGCAAAGGAAUAUUUUACUAGUAGUCUCAGUACUUAUCUUCAAAAUCACGGCAUUAUCCACAUAAGUUCUUGCGUUGACACCCUACAACAAAAUGGGAUGGCUGAACGCAAGAAUAGACAUCUCUUGGAGGUUGCCCGGUGCCUUAUGUUUUCCUCUAAUGUUCCAAACUAUUUCUGGGGGGAAGCCAUUCUCACAGCUACCUAUUUGAUUAACCGUAUGCCAUCCAAAGUGCUUACCUUUCAAUCCCCAUGUCAACUUCUCUUAAAAAAAUUCCCUCACACCCGUGCAGCCUCUUCUGAUUUACCACUCAAAGUAUUUGGUUGCACGGCAUUCGUUCAUGUGUAUCCUCAAAAUCGUAGCAAAUUUGCUCCUUGAGCCAAUAAGUGCAUUUUCCUAGGGUAUUCUCUAACCCAAAAAGGGCACAAAUGCUAUUCUCCAACCAACAAAAGAUUUUACACCACCAUGGAUGUCUCUUUCUUUGAACAUGUCUUCUUCUAUCCCAAAUCUCAUGUUCAGGGGGAGAGCAUGAAUGAACAUCAAGUUUGGGAGUCUCUUCUUAAGGCUGUACCUUUUUCUCACUCAGAGUCACCAAAUCCUUUCCAAUCCACGCCCACUGAGUUGUCCACACCCAUGCCGUCAUCAGUCCAGCUAGCCCAGCCCACAAAUGUUCCUUCUCCCGUGACCAUCCAGUCUCCCAUGCCUAUUCAACCUAUAGCCCCACAACUUGCUAAUGAGAACUUACAAGUUUACAUCAGGAGGAGGAAAAGACAGGAAUUAGAGCAUGGAUCACAGCCAACAUGUGGCCAAUAUAUUGACUCCAUUUCAAGUCUACCUGAAGAGAACAUAGGUGAGGAUAGGGCUGGAGAGGUGUUAAUUCCCAGCAUUGAUGAUUCUACUAUGCCGAUUGCAUUGAGGAAGAGUGUUAGGAGAUGUACAGAUCAUCCAAUUGGGAAUUAUGUUACGUAUGAAGGGCUAUCACCAUCUUACAGAGCAUUUGCUACUUCUCUUGAUGAUACUCAGGUUCCCAACACAAUACAAGAGGCAUUCAAAAUUUUAGAAUGGAAGAAGGCAGUACAAGAUGAGAUUGAUGCACUUGAGAAGAAUGGGACAUGGACUAUCACAGAUUUGUCGAUUGGGAAGAGGCCCGUGGGGUGCAAGUGGAUUUUCACCAUAAAAUACAAAGCAGAUGGAUCAGUCGAGAGAUUCAAGGCUCGUUUGGUAGCUAGAGGGUUUACACAAUCCUAUGGGAUAAACUAUCAGGAGACUUUUGCUCCUAUUGCAAAACUGAACACUAUCAGGAUUCUUCUCUCAUUGGCUGUCAAUCAAGAUUGGUGCUUGCAACAACUGGACAUAAAAAAUGCGUUUCUAAAUGGUGACCUAGAAGAGGAAGUCUACAUGGAAAUACCACCUGGUUUCGAAGGAAAUAUGGCAAAGAAUCAGGUUUGCAAACUCCAAAAAUCCUUGUAUGGCCUUAAACAAUCUCCCCGAGCCUGGUUUGAUAGAUUCACAAAGGCAGUCUUAAAGCUGGGCUACAAACAAGGUCAGGCUGAUCAUACUCUAUUUGUCAAGAAGUCUCAUGCCGGGAAAAUGGCCAUAUUGAUAGUAUAUGUCGAUGAUAUUAUUCUAUUUGGGAAUGAUAUGGAGGAAUUACAGAAUUUGAAGAAGUAUUUUUCAGAAGAGUUUGAAGUUAAAGACCUUGGAAAUUUGAAAUAUUUCCUUGGUAUGGAAGUGGCUAGAUCAAGGAAGGGAAUUGUAGUCUCUCAAAGAAAAUACAUACUCGAUCUUCUUAAGGAGACCGGUAUGCUUGGAUGCAAACCAAUUGAUACUCCUAUGGAUAGUCAGAAUAAACUUGGUAUCGAGAAAGAGAGUACACCGGUAGACAGGGGGAGAUAUCAGCGGCUCGUUGGGCGCUUGAUUUAUCUCUCACACACUCGGCCAGAUAUUGGCUUUGCAGUGAGUGCUGUAAGUCAAUUCAUGCACAGCCCCACUGAGGAACACAUGGAAGCAGUCUACAGGAUUCUUAGAUAUUUAAAAAUGACACCAGGGAAAGGUCUAUUCUUCAGAAAGACAGAGAAUCGUGACACUGAAGUAUACUCAGAUGCGGAUUGGGCAAGAAACAUCAUUGACAGGCGGUCCACUUUUGGAUACUGUUCUUUUGUCUGGGGAAAUCUUGUUACCUGGAGGAGUAAGAACCAAUCAGUUGUAGCCAGAAGUAGUGCAGAAGCUGAGUACAGAGCACUAGCACAGGGAAUCUGUGAAGGGAUUUGGAUAAAAAGGGUUCUUAGUGAACUAGGACAAACGAGUUCAUCUUCGAUUUUGAUGAUGUGUGAUAAUCAGGCAGCUAUAAGCAUAGCAAAGAACCCCGUGCAUCAUGACAGGACCAAGCACGUUGAGAUUGACAGACACUUCAUCACAGAGAAGGUGACUAGUGAGAUGGUUAAAUUGAACUACGUUCCUACCAAGCACCAAACCGCAGACAUCCUCACCAAAGCUUUACCUAGGCCUAACUUCGAAGACUUAACUUGCAAGUUGGGAUUAUAUGAUGUAUAUUCUCCAGCUUGAGGGGGAGUGUUGAAAUUUGGCAUUCAAAGUUAGGGUUUUAAUUUAGGAAAGUAUUUUAGGAAUAAAAAAAGGAGAGAUCAUUUAGGAUAUUUCCUUAGGAUUCAGUUUCCUAAUUUUAAGAGAGAAUCAAGCUAGAUUGAUAUUUUCUUAUUCUGUCAUUUUGUGUAUAUAUAUGUGUAUGGUGUGUACCGAAUAAUCAUCAAUAAAAAGGAAUUCAGAAAUUCUUCAAUAUUAAACCUCAUGAGUCUCAAGAAAUGGCUCUCAAAGACUCCUGGCAAGAUAUUGGUGAAUUGUAAGAAUAUUUGUAAUGGUAAUGUUAAGAUUGCAGAAUUAAAAAAUAAUCAGAUGAAUUUAUUGAAGAGUGAUUUGAUAAAAAGGUGAAAUAACUUAUCCAAAAGAAGGAAAUUAGCUAACGUUGAGAGGGAAGAGUGGAUCCUUUCCACACCAUGAGGAGCUUAAAAAGAGGGAAGAGUUAAAGAAACUAAAAUGAUAACCCUUGGAUCCUCUUACAAAGUGUCAAGUAUGGACUCCUGCUUUGGCAAGAGCAAAAUUUGCUAAGGCAUGGUCUAAGUUAUGAAUAGCAUACAACUUUGGACACACUUGUAAUUUCCAUAUUGCAGAUUCAUUUUUUGAAAAUUGCCAUCUGGAUAUCUAUCAUCUCUAUGCCACAAUAACAAAAGUGUUCUCCUAAGGUCUUAGUCCAACUUUCAAAGCCAUAGACCACCACAAGCCAAAAUUUCUUGAAUAACAGGACAAUUGUAUACUUUAGGACUUGAUAACAAUGAGAAGAAUUUUAGUGGAGGUAGAAUGAAGUAGGUCUGCCCAUGUAACAUCUCCAACAUUCCUUUGACUCUAAAGCCUUUUUUUACUCCUUUCCUACUUUUCCAUUCCUUGUCAUGUGUUUGGCUGCACCUUCAUGUUCUUUGUCUAUAUACAUGGAAAACAGUUAUAUUCUUAGGGCUCUUCAUUUAGUACUUCAGUAUAUAUAUUCAACACACACACACACACACACACACACACACACACACACACACAUAUAUAUAUAUAUACACACACAUAUAUUAAUUAUAAUCAGAAUUCAUUGCUUGAAUAUUAAUCUAUAAAGAAUCCAUAAAACUUGAUUUUUGCUUCUCUUUUCAUUCCAUACUUAUGCAAUCUUUAAUUGUUGUUGCAUUAGUGCUUGUCUUUAGGUGUUGAAGAUGUGGAUGAGGUUCAUACAACAGUUUUUUGCCUUCCAAAAGGUGAGCUACCGACCACCCUUAAGUGGUUGUUAAUUGAAGAUUGUCAUAAACCGAGGAUGUUCAUCCAAGGGAAUUAAGCACCAUGCUUUAAUGGACAACAAUAACACUUGUUGUCUUGAAUGAAUAGAGGUAUGGGGAUGUUCAUCUCUAAAGUCCAUUCCAUGGAUCUCCAAAGAACUCUACAACUGCCUAAACUCUCAUCCUUUGUGCCAAAGGAAGGGCUGCCACUAACACUUGUAAGAGUUGUAAUGGGGACAUGUCCUAUUCUAAAACAAAGGUGCCUCAAGAGCAAAGGAAAAUAUUAGCCCAAGAUUGCCCACAUCCCCUACAUGGGAACAUAUGACAUUGUAUUACAAUAACAAGUUCAACCAGGCACCCCAAUUCUUUGUAAUCUUGCACCAAAGAUUCUACUCACUAAUUAUUAUUUUGUUUAAAUAUGUUCUAGUCUUUUCUUAUCCUUUUUUACCUCAAGGAUUCUAUUAUUUCUAAAAGAAGCUCCAAGGGUUUCAUGAAAUUGCCAACAACCCACCCUGAGAUAGAUAACAUUGUACAACAGUAAAAAGUUCAAUCAUGUAGCCCAAUUUCGUGAACCCAUGGCAAAUGUGAAAGCCUUUUAAUCACGGUAACCCGAAAAGGCAAUAGAAAAGGCUGCAUGAUCAUCUCAUAUCUCUUGUAGAGUUGAGACUCAUCAUGCUCAAAAAUCUUUUCCUCUGAAGGGACUGUCAUUUUGUGGUUAGUGAUUGUGAGGAGAAUACUUUUAUUAUUGACUUAUCUACUUUUGAAUUCCUCAUUGAUUAAAAUUUGAUUAGGAGUUUUGGCUUUUGACUGCAGUUAUAGGCUCUAAACACUAACAUCUCUCUAAAACAAUCAGCUAUAUGCAUGGUCUCAUCACUCCAACUUCUCUAGCAUCCAAAAACUCUAGAAUCGGGAAUGUGCCCUUAGCUUUGUCCUUAUUGGCCAAAAUAAGCCAUUCCUGCCGCACUUCAAUUUGUAAGUUCUAAUAGAAAGCAAUUUUCACCAUUCUCAACUCAAAAGAUUGCCUUUACCUUUUGAUAAUGAUGGAAUUUAUGUUGUACAUGUAGGAUGACAUGCAAAUGAAAGCAAAAUUUCUUAGGUCUGGUGCAGCUCAUUGGCAUCUGCAUGGGUAAAUAUCCUAAUCAUGAAAUUUUGUGUUUAAUGAAAGCAAAAUUGUUGCAUUUAGUGGACCAUUCUUUUUUACUUUUGGUAUAUGUGAUUCCAAUUUCUAGUCUAACAGUUUUUGUUAACACCUUUUGCACUAUUCUCAAAAGGUUUUGAGGUCAUGCAUUACAUAUAAAGACUCAUCAGUUAAAAAAAAACACAAAACUAAUUUUAAUUCUCUUCUUUUUGUUUUGUUUUUGAGAUGAUGUGAGUUUUUCCCCCAUUGGUUUGGUAUGGGCAAGUGGUGUUAAUAGGAAUCUGAGGGCCUCAAGGAGUUAGAGAACAUUAUCAAUCAAGUAUUCAACAAAUGUUGAGAGAAAUAAAAUUAGACAAUGGUGAGAAGAAGAAAUUUCAAAUCCAGGGUGAGCCUUGGUUUUUUGCUUUCCAUGUUUCAAAUUAAGCUUUUAAUAUGUGAUCUCGGUCUUUUAGUUUUGCCCAGUGCUUAUAUUUUUUUAUGAUCUAAAUUGAGCCUUCACUUCUACCAUGUCUCAAUUGGUGCUUGCAUUUCUAAGUGUCAAGUGUCAUUCUUUUGGAGGUUAUUCAAUUUUCAGACUAUGACAAGAUAAAAUCUCAAUGCAAUCCUAAUUACACGUUUUUCUUUCUAGAAUCAUUUGAACUUAGUAAUAAUUCAACCUAUGUUUUGAAUUUCAGGAUAUGAGACUUGUUUCAUCUGAAAAAGAAUGUAGGUAGAACCCAAGUGAAUCCCACCAUUUGAAAACUUAUGCAUCAAUGGUUACUGCUCUUGCCCACCCAGAUUUGGAUUUGAAAGACGAAAAUACAAUGCAUCAAUGGUUCAGUUGGGAAAACAAUUUUCAUACAUGGAGAGAGAGCAGAAGAGGAUUCUUGCAAGUAGCCAAGCGAUUCCUUACGUACAAUUUUAUUAAUUGCCUUAAAUGCAUUGUACCUUAUGGAGAGAGAGCAUUGGCCUAUCGCCAAAAUUUUGAAAAAAUCGAUGGUUUUUUUACAGUCUUCCUCUGUUGCUCCGUGUGUCACUCUAUGCUCGAUUUUUUCAUCGAUUUUUCACCUCCAAAUUGAUAUAUCAUCGAUAUUUCGCUGAUAUUACUGAAAUUUUUUCGAAAUUCUCAUCGAUUGAUAAUUGGUGCCUAAUAUUAUGUCGGGCACCAUUGAUAUUUGAUAUAUCAACGAUAUUUUGCUGAAAAAUAUGAAAUUUUAAUCUUUGCCUAUAGGCAAGUGUUUCCUCCAUCCCACUCAACUAUAUAUCAAAACAAUCAAAACAUAUUUACUAGGCAAAACCUCAAUAUAUAUAUAUAUAUAUAUAUAAUAAAAAAAUUAAAAAAAAAAAAAAAAACCAGAAAGCAUUGGCCUUAAGUUAGUGAUUAUGCCUAAAAGAUUAAUGUCAAAUUAUCUUCACCAAUAAAUACAAUAUUCUUACUACAUUUUUUCAAACGAUUCUCUAUGGCCAAAAUCUAAAUAAAUAAAAUAAAAAUAAUAUAUUAUAUGUGCCUUUUAUAUGUAGUAUAUUGGUUUUGCUCAUGCAUGUAGUAUAAUUAUUUUGUAAAUAAAAUAAUUUUUGAAAAAAGAAAUAAUAGUAAUAAUAAUGAUAAAGUGAAUAAUUGAAAAAAAAAUUAAAAGAUAGACUUUAUCUUCUUUUUGCUUUUGCCCUAUUCCUUUUUUUUCCUUUCUAGCAACACUACUGCAACAUUACCAUUUUUCAAACCAAUAAGCAUCCACUAAGCAACACUCUAUUCUCUGUCUCUGUCUCUCUGUCUCUGUCUCUCUCUCUCUCUCUCUCUCUCUCUUUUCCAUUGCAAUCGUGGACCAUGCAGCACCUAUUUUUUGGCAGCUGUAACACCUUCACGUUUUUUCAACCAUGGAGAGCUUUUUACUUUAUUCAAAUAUGAUUAACCUUUUAUUUUAUUUUAUUUUCAAUUAAAACAAUCCAUUUUUUAUUUUUUUUAAAAACAUAAAAAUGAUGGAGAAAAGGAUAAAACAUAAAUUUGAAAUCUUUACCAUCAAAAUUUUUCAAACAAAAAAUAAAGUGCAACCUUCAAAGCUUCUAAGAACAAAGUGAAUGAGUCUGAAGAUAGUUUUUUUAUGUUUGUGCUUUUGAUACCAUGGAUAUCCACAUUUGCACAUGCAUUUUAAAAGAAAUCCAUAACUCUCUACUUGCAUUGAAUCGACUAAUUUUUAUUUUUUUUUAAUAGUAGUCAUUUAUUGUCAUGCCUUAUGAUUGUUGUGUAUAUUUAUAUCCUUAUUCUCUUUAGAUAUUGAUUAUAUAUUAUAGCAUUUGAUUAUAUGCUUUAGAUAUCCAACAAAAAAAAAUCGUAGAAAUCAUUGAAGUUCUCUCAACUUGAUAUUAGAUAUUGAUUUAGGGUUUAAAUGGGUGUUAUAACUUAUGUCAUACUGUAGACCCCCAUUUUGGGGUGUAUUUUUGCAGAUCAUUUUUGCCAGGUGGAAGGCUCUUGGAAGACCACAUGUUGCCCUAAGAUUGGUCAUUGGGGAAUUGAUUCGUCCCCAAUUGGUGUACUCUUGAUUCAGUCCUUAGACGGGAGUUAUCAACAAAAUUUAUAAACCUAAUUCACCAUAUACUAGGGUAGCAUAGCUAGCAUAGCAUAGUGGUUCUAGGAUCGUCCACAGGGAUGUGUUUUCAUUUCACACAUGAUAUUAGUUUAAAGAAUUGGAUUGGUGUUUUUUCUUUUAUGAGUUAGCUUUAAAAGAAAACAUAAUCUUUGGUUGAAAAAUGUUGGUUUUAAGCUAACCAAAAAAAUAGUAACUGAUAUUAAUUAUAAAGAAAAGGUUUCUUGGAGUUUCAGGUCACUAGGCUCAGGUUCCUUAUACAAAAGGGGAUAUUCCAGAUCUUUUCCUUGCAUUAGGGAUUUAACCUACAGUUAUCCUCCCAACUGGUGUGUUACAGUUGCUUCCCAUUAAUGGUUUCAACGCUAAAUCCCUCUCACUGAUGCAUCUUGCAAUGGCUCGUACCUCUCACCUAGCAUUUGCCAUUUAGGGUGAUCCUUAACCUUGAAUUACCCUUCAAAAGCUUGUUGGAGAUAAUUAAUGGAUGUCUCCAGGGAGUCCAAAAGCUUACCAAGUGUUGGCUAUUCUAGAUAAUCCUACCUUUAAACCACUUCCCAGAGGCUCGCAAGAGAUAACUAAUGGAUCUCUGUGGAUUGAGUCCGAAAAGCUUACCAAGUGUUGGCCCGGGUGAUUAUAAGGGAUUUCAAGUUAACUAAAAAUAUAAAAACCAUUACCGGAUCACAACUUCCUCUUCAUUAAAAAUUGAAACAAUGAAAACUCCCACUUUUGUAUCUGGGUCCCUUACCUAGCUUCCUUCAGUCCAAGAAACAAAAAGUCUAGCCACUCAUCCUCUGAGAAAACAUCCUCAAAGAUUGUUUGGCUAGAAAGAAAAUACAAUCAAAGUGAGUAGGUAAGGCGGAGCAAAGCUCUAUAUGUUUCUUACUAAAAAAUGUACAAGUGAUCCCCAAGAAUGUUUUCCGAGAUUCUGAGAUAGAUAUUACAAAAAUAGAUAUGUUAAGAUAUAUAUAGAAAGAUAUUUUUAACCCCUCAAUUAGAUAUCCUAAAUAUCUAAAAAGAUCUUUAGCUGAUUACAAUGAGAGAAUAGAUAAUUACACAAAAUAUCUUGAGGUAAAAAUCUAACUGAGUUGGUGCGCAAAUAUCUGAAGAUUACAUGAAGAUUUCACAAGUUAGAUAUGGAGUUGCGAAAAUUUCGCAAGGUUGAAAAGGAGUUGUGAAAUUUUUGCAAUGUUGAAAAGGAAUUGCGAAAAUUUCUUUUGGCUUGCAAAAAUUUCACAAAUGGUGAAAAGAGGUUGCAAAAUUCUUUAGUGUUAGAUUUCUUCUCUGAUUCUCUUCCUUGCAUACUUGAUUGAUUUGGCAAAGGCUUCGAAGCUCUCCAAAACUUGAAUUUUUCAUGUAAUUUAGCUUCAAUCUUGCUUUGCCAUGGAUUAUACCAAGUUCUCCCUCAUUCUUGGCUUGUUUUAAUGAUAAAAAAAGCUAUCAAAAACAUCAAAACUUGCCAAAAAUUGAUUAGUAACACUUGUAAGGGUCCAUAAUGUGCCAAUUAGGUUAAAAGGUAAUAAAUACUACUCAAAAGUGUUUAAAAGAGUUUAUAAGAAGCUACAAAAGAGCACUUUUUAAGUAGUAAUCACUCCCUCCAACCAACAUAUUACUAGUCCCUUAGCAAUGAAUGAGAGAAAAACAAAAAUAAGAUAGUAAAAUAAUUUACAAGUUCAUGCUGAUCACUCCAAAAAAUCAUAAGUGGCAUGAUUGUAAAGCAUAUUCUCACAUGAAAUAUUAAAGAAGCGAAACUCAUCCUUUAACAAGAGGAUAUCAAAAAUCUUACCUGAUCAUAAUUCAUACACAGUAGGUAUUAUGCAAAUUUAAGUAAUGAGAGGAUUUUCACUUUCCUAGGCUCAAUCAUUACUUUUCCACAAAAAUCUGUGUUAAGCUUAUUAGUUUCCGAAUAUAGUACUCUGAACUAAUCUCUCCCCCCAACCUAGUUCUUUCUCAGACUUUAGCAAACUGACCACUUCCAAUAAGCUAAGAAUGCACCUCUUUUAUUUCACAAUUGUUUUUCUUGUAGGUGUGAGGUAUUGUUUUCUAAAGUGUCCAUGUAACGGGAAUCCAUCGAUGACUCCCAACCAAUCAAGGUUUAGGGCAUCAAGCUUUAAGGAUAUUUUGACCACUAACUCCUCAGAUUUUUACCCCGGACUUUUGAAAUUGAAAUUGAUUACUACCCAAAAAGUGCUAUUUUACACCUUUAAUGCAUUAUGUUUUAAGCACUUUUGUGUAGUAGUUCUCCAUCUUUAGUCCAAUUGGCAUGUUAAGGACCUAUCAAUGUCUUCUAAUCAUAUUUGUGGCUAGUUUUAGUGUUUUGACAGCUUUUUGGAUCAUUAAGACAAGCCAAGCAAAGGAGAGAAGCAAAGAGAAGCAAAGUGAAAAAAUCAGAGGACAACAGCUUCAGUCUUCUUUCAUACUUUUGGACGCACUUCCCGAAGUUCAUUUUNNNNNNNNNNNNNNNNNNNNNNNNNNNNNNNNNNNNNNNNNNNNNNNNNNNNNNNNNNNNNNNNNNNNNNNNNNNNNNNNNNNNNNNNNNNNNNNNNNNNUUUCCUCUGUUUUGCCCGACUCCACUUUAGAUAUUUUCUUAUGUAUUUUUUGAUGUAAUUUUCUUUCUUAUCCUUGUAACUAACCAAUCACAAGCUUUUGCUUUUGUAAAGACUAUAUAAGGGGUGGAAAUCACCUUUUUGAAUAUAUGUGAUAUGUGUUACGUUUAACACUUAGAAAAAUAUACAGAGCUCUCUCGUUUCUCUUUUCUCUUUACUAUUUUAUUUUUCUUGGAAGCCAAACAACCUCUGAGGAUGUUUUCCCGGAGGAUGAGAGGCUAAACUUUUGGUUUCUUGGAGUGAAGGAAGCUAGGUGAAAAGUCCAGAUGAAAAGGUGGAAAGCUUUCGUGCAUUAAAUUCAGGUAGUUGGAGUUCAUAAAUGGCUUCUAAAUCCAAAGUUUUGCUUUAAAUCCCUUAGAAUCACUUUGAAUGGCCAAUACAUGGUAAGCUUCAGGUCUCUAUGGAUGCUUAUUACUAGAUCCAUAUCAGUCUAUUAGUUAUCAUGUACGAGCCAUUGGAAAGUGAUUCAAGGUGAAGACCCAUAGUGUCUAAAGCCAUUAAUGGACCUUGACUACCAUUCCUAUUGACUUUUUAUGGAUUAAAUCUUCAUUGUCAAACCUAUAUCGGUUCGGGAAAUAACUAUAGGUUAAAUCCCCAAUGCGAGGAGAAAAAUCCAAAAUUUUCCACUUUGCAUUCUGAACUUGAUCCUAGCAACCCUUAGCUCUGAGAGACUUUCUUUCUUCUAUUUUCACUUAGUUUAUAUUAGUUUAGUUUCAAACACUUUCAAAACAAAUUUUAUUUUCUUUUAAACUUUAAGUUUUUUUAUAAAGAAAAUCAUUAAAUUCAAUUUCUAACCUUGAGUAUAUCACUGGUAGAAUGAAAACCCAUCCCAGAGUUCGACCCUAGAGCCACUAUACUAUAGUAGCUUUGCUACGCUAGUAUGAGGUCAUAGGUUUUAUAAAUGUUUUUGAUUAAAUGACCCAACUGGAGUUUCACGCGAAUCAAAAUGGCGUCGUUGCCGGGGAUGGUGCCACAAUACAGUGAUACAACCUUUUAAAGGCUACUUGUGAUUUUCAUCACAAGUUUGGUGAAUUCCUUUUUCACUAACUUCAUUUCCUUUCAUUUUCCUUUUGUUAAGUUUAUUUUCGUUUUCUUUCUAACCUUAACUUUUUUCUAGUUUUCUUUUGUUUUGGUUGUUUUUGUUUUAUUUCAGGUAAGUUGUAACUUGUGUAUGCCCUAUUGGAUUCGGGACCAAGAGGGAAGAUUAGUAAGGAUUGAGAAUCCUCAAGACACAGAGUUGGAUAUCUGUGUAAACAUCAUGGACCCUCCACAAGAGGAUCAGAAUUCUCAACACGGUCAAGGGGGUAAUCCAAAUGCAUAUCUAUCCAUGAGGGAUAGAAUACACCCACCAAGGAUGAGUGCACCCUCAUGCAUCGUACCUUCUCUUGAGCAGCUGGUUAUAAGGCCCCAUAUUGUGCCCCUUCUACCAAAUUUCCAUGGAAUGGAAAGUGAGAAUCCAUAUGCCCACAUCAAGGAGUUUGAGGAGGUUUGCAAUACCUUUAGAGAGGGAGGAGCUUCAAUAGACUUGAUGAGAAUCAAGCUAUUCCCUUUUACUUUGAAGGAUAAGGCAAAAAUAUGGCUUAAUUCUUUAAGGCCAAGGAGCAUAAGGAAUUGGGUUGAUCUUCAAGCCGAAUUUUUGAAGAAAUUUUUCCCCACCCAUAGGACCAAUGGGUUGAAGAGACAAAUCUCAAAUUUUUCUACAAAAGAAAAUGAGAAGUUCCAUGAAUGUUGGGAAAGGUAUAUGGAGGCCAUCAAUGCUUGCCCUCAUCAUGGCUUUGAUACAUGGCUCUUGGUGAGCUAUUUUUAUGAUGGGAUGUCUUCCACCAUGAAGCAAAUUCAUGAAACCAUGUGUGGGGGAGAUUUUAUGAGCAAGAAUCCGGAAGAAGCCAUGGACUUUUUAAGUUAUGUGUCUGAGGUGUCAAGAGGAUGGGAUGAGCCCAACUCAAGAGAGAAAGGAAAGUUUCCCUCUCAACCAACCCAAAAUCCAAAGGGUGGAAUGUACGUGUUAAGUGAAGACAUGGACAUGAAGGCUAAGGUGGCAACAAUAGCAAGGAGGUUGGAAGAACUUGAGUUGAAAAAGAUGCAUGAAGUCCAAGCCAUUUCCGAGACACAAGCCCAUGUCAUGCCAUGCACCAUUUGCCAAUCAUGUGAUCAUGUGGUAGAUGAGCGCCCAACCAUGCCAGCUGUGAGGGAGAUGUUAGGUGAUCAAGCCAAUGUUGUGGGGCAAUUUAGGCCUAACAACAAUGCACCUUAUGGAAACACCUAUAAUUCAAGCUGGAGAAACCAUCCAAAUUUUUCUUGGAAACCAAGACCACCUCCAUACCAACCAGCCCAAACCCAAGCACCUCAACAAACCUCUUCAGUGGAGCAAGCCAUUGCGAACCUAAGUAAAGUCAUGGGUGACUUUGUGGGUGAACAAAAGGCAAUCAACUCCCAAUUGCAUUAAAAGAUUGAAAAUGUUGAGAGUUCUCAAAUUAAGAGAAUGGAGGGGAUGCAAAAUGAUCUAUCUCAGAAGAUAGAUAAUAUUCAAUACUCCAUCUCUAGGCUUACCAACCUCAACACAGUGAAUGAGAAGGGAAAGUUUCCCUCUCAACCAAGCCAAAAUCCCAAGGGUGUUCAUGAAGUUGAAACUCAAGAGCGGGAGUCUUCAAAGUUGAGGGAGGUUAAAGCUGUGAUCACUUUGAGGAGUGAAAAGGAGGUUGAUCAAUCCUUGCCUAAGGUGAGGCAAGAUGAAGAACUCGUGUCAAAGAAAACCUUGGUUAAAGAGAGUAAUAACCAAGAAGAGAAGAGUGGGAAGAAAAGUGCAUCCAAAUCAAGCAUUGAAGAAGAACCAAGGAUAGUGAUUAAAGAGGAUAUGAUGAAGAAACAUAUGCCUCCCCCUUUUCCUCAAGCUUUACAUGGAAAGAAGGAAAUCAAGAAUUCAUCAGAAAUUCUUGAAGUUUUGAGACAAGUGAAGGUGAAUAUACCCUUACUUGAUAUGAUCAAACAAGUCCCCACAUAUGCAAAGUUUCUAAAGGACUUGUGCACGGUCAAGAGAGGGUUACAUGUGACAAAGAAUGCAUUCCUCACUGAGCAAGUAAGUGCUAUCAUUCAGAGUAAGUCCCCAGUUAAGUAUAAAGAUCCGGGAUGUCCCACCAUUUCAGUCAACAUUGGAGGGACACAUGUGGAGAAAGCUUUACUAGACUUGGGGGCAAGUGUGAAUUUGCUCCCAUACUCUGCGUACAAGCAACUGGGACUUGGUGGAUUGAAGCCCACAACCAUCACUCUCUCUUUAGCUGACAGGUCAGUCAAAAUCCCAAGGGGGGUGAUAGAGGAUGUUCUAGUUCAAGUGGACAAAUUCUACUAUCCUGUGGAUUUUGUGGUGCUUGAUAUUGAUCCCACUGUUAAGGAAGCAAACUAUGUACCAAUCAUCAUUGGGAGACCUUUCCUAGCUACCUCCAAUGCCAUCAUCAAUUGUAGAAAUGGGGUGAUGCAGCUCACAUUUGGGAAAAUGACCUUGGAAUUAAAUAUAUUCCACCUAUGCAAGAGGCAUCUUCACCCAGAAGAUGAGGAAGGAUUGGAGGAGGUGUGCUUGAUCAACACCUUAGUUGAAGAGCAUUAUGACAAGAAUUUACAAGAGAGCUUGAAUAAAAGCCUUGAAAUGUUUAAAGAAGGGUUACCUGAACCCUCUGAUGUUCUAGCCAUCAUGUCUCCUUGGAGGAGACGGGAAGAGAUCUUACCACUAUUCAAUAAGGAGGACUCACAAGGAGCAGCUGUGGAGGACCCUCCAAAGCUUGUUUUGAAGCCGCUUCCUGUUGAUUUGAAAUAUGCAUAUUUGGAGGAAGAUGAGAAAUGUCCAGUGGUGGUUUCUUCAACUCUUACUAGUGAUCAAGAGGAUAGUCUUUUGGGAGUCCUCAGGAAAUGCAAGAAAACCAUUGGAUGGCAAAUUUCUGAUCUGAAAGGGAUUAGCCCUUUGGUGUGCACCCACCAUAUCUAUAUGGAGGAAGAUGCCAAACCAGUGAGGCAGCCCCAGAGGAGGUUGAAUCCUCACAUGCAAGAGGUGGUGAGGGGUGAAGUUCUGAAGCUACUCCAAGCUGGGAUCAUAUAUCCCAUUUCAGACAGCUUGUGGGUGAGCCCCACCCAAGUAGUCCCAAAGAAAUCUGGAAUUACUGUGGUCCAGAAUGAGAAAGGGGAGGAAGUCUCUACACGUCCUACCUCAGGAUGGAGGGUGUGUAUAGACUACAGGAGGUUGAAUUCAGUGACUAGGAAGGACCAUUUCCCAUUGCCUUUCAUGGACCAAGUCCUUGAGAGAGUCUCAAGACAUCCUUUCUACUGUUUUUUGGAUGGUUACUCGGGGUACUUCCAAAUAGAGAUUGAUUUGGAAGAUCAAGAAAAGACAACCUUCACUUGCCCCUUUGGUACUUUUGCGUAUAGGAGAAUGCCCUUUGGUCUAUGUAAUGCUCCUGCAACUUUCCAAAGAUGUAUGCUGAGCAUCUUCAAUGAUAUGGUGGAGCGCAUCAUGGAAGUCUUCAUGGAUGACAUCACUAUAUAUGGAAGUUCUUAUGAGGAGUGUUUGUUGCAUUUAGAAGCUGUUCUCCACAGAUGUAUUGAGAAAGACCUAGUGCCAAAUUGGGAGAAGUGCCAUUUUAUGGUACAACAAGGAAUUGUCUUAGGACAUAUCAUCUCCAAGAAUGACAUUGAGGUAGAUAAGGCAAAGGUGGAGCUAAUUGUUAAGUUGCCACCUUCCACAAAUGUUAAAGGAAUUAGGUAAUUCCUAGGACAUGUUGGGUUCUAUAGGAGGUUCAUUAAGGAUUUAUCAAAAAUCUCAAAGCCUCUUUGUGAACUCUUGGUAAAGGAUGCCAAGUUUGUGUGGGAUGCGAAGUGUCAGAAGAGUUUUGAGGAACUGAAGCAAUUCCUCACAACUGCACCAAUAGUGAGAGCCCCAAAUUGGAAAUUACCUUUUGAGGUAAUGUGUGAUGCAAGUGAUCUUGCUAUGGGGGCUGUCUUGGGGCAAAGAGAAGAUGGAAAGCCCUAUGUGAUUUAUUAUGCGAGCAAAACUUUGAACAAGGCUCAAAGAAACUACACAACUACUGAGAAGGAGUUGUUGGCAGUAGUUUUUGCCUUGGAUAAGUUUUGUGCCUAUUUGGUAGGGUCCUCUAUAGUGGUGUUCACUGACCAUUCCACUUUGAAGUACUUGCUAACCAAGCAAGAUGCCAAGGCAAGAUUGAUAAGAUGGAUCCUUUUGCUCCAAGAAUUCAAUCUCCAAAUCCGGGAUAAAAAGGGGGUAGAAAAUGUGGUAGCUGACCACUUGUCAAGACUUGUGAUAGCACAUGACUCACAUGGUCUACCUAUCAAUGAUGACUUCCCUGAGGAGUCUCUCAUGUCAAUAGAGGUAGCUCCAUGGUAUUCUCACAUUGCAAAUUUCUUGGUUUCUGGAGAAAUUCCGAGUGAGUGGAGUGCCCAAGACAAGAGGCAUUUCUUUGCUAAGAUCCAUGCCUAUUAUUGGGAGGAGCCUUUUCUCUUCAAAUAUUGUGCAGAUCAAAUCAUAAGGAAAUGUGUUCCUGAACAAGAGCAAUCAGGAAUUCUUUCCCAUUGCCAUGAUAGUGCAUGUGGAAGUCAUUUUGCCUCCGAGAAAAUAGCUAUGAAAGUGAUCCAAUCAGGUUUUUGGUGGCCCUCUCUUUUCAAGGAUGCCCACUCUAUGUGCAAGGGAUGUGAUCGGUGUCAAAGGCUUGGGAAGCUAACACGCCGAAAUAUGAUGCCCUUGAACCCCAUCUUGAUAGUGGAUGUUUUUUAUGUUUGGGGGAUAGACUUCAUGGGACCAUUUCCAAUGUCGUUUGGACAUUCCUACAUUUUGGUGGGAGUGGAUUAUGUCUCUAAGUGGGUAGAAGCAAUCCCAUGUAGGAGCAAUGAUCAUAAGGUGGUUCUUAAAUUCCUCAAGGAUAACAUCUUUGCAAGAUUUGGAGUGCCUAAGGCCAGUAUAAGUGAUGGAGGAACUCACUUUUGCAAUAAACCUUUUGAGACUCUUCUAGCCAAAUAUGGGGUUAAGCACAAGGUAGCUACACCUUAUCACCCUCAAACAAGUGGCUAAGUUGAGUUAGCCAACCAGGAGAUCAAGAAUAUAUUGAUGAAGGUGGUGAAUGUGAAUAGGAAGGAUUGGUCUACUAAGCUCCUGGAUUCCUUAUGGGCUUAUAGGACCGCUUACAAGACCAUUCUUGGAAUGUCUCCUUAUCGCCUUGUUUAUGGCAAAGCAUGUCAUCUUCCAGUGGAGGUUGAAUAUAAAGCAUGGUGGGCAAUCAAGAAGCUCAACAUGGAUUUGACAAGAGCCGGGUUGAAGAGAUGUUUGGAUUUGAAUGAAUUGAAGGAAAUGAGGAAUGAUGCUUACCUCAAUUCAAAAAUUGCAAAAGAGAGGUUGAAGAAAUAGCAUGAUCAGUUGGUAAAUCAAAAGAAUUUUGCCAAGGGACAAAGAGUCUUGCUUUAUGACUCUAAGCUUCAUCUUUUUCCGGGAAAAUUGAAAUCAAGGUAGACGGGUCCUUUCAUUGUUCAUGAUGUGCAACCAAAUGAAGUAGUGGAACUACUCAACUUCAAUAGCACUCGAACUUUCAAAGUGAAUGGGCAUCGUCUCAAGCCCUAUAUGGAAUCAUUUUCCCGAGACAAGGAGGAAUUCAUCCUCCUUGAUCCACCUCCAACAUGAAAAUACUUGGUUUAUGGUUGAACUUAGUCUCUUCAAAGACUAAAGAGUUCAUCCUCUUUUUGUUUUCUUUUAAGUUGAUUCUAGUUUAAUUUAGUGUUUUUCCAUGUUUUGAUUUUUAUUUUUGACUUUAAGGUCGUUCUAAUGUGUUUUGAAUUGGUUUUUUGUGUUAACAUUCAGGUAGGAAAGCUUGAAGAAUGAAGGCAUGGUGAAAACAAAGGGAAAACAGGGGAGAAAAAAACCAAACUCAGUAAUUUUCGCACAACACUUCCUGUUGUGCGAAAUUUUCACACAACACAUUCCUUGUGCGAAAACGCUUUUGUGCCAAUUUCCAAAAAACAUGCUCUCGGUCCCUUCCCAAAAUCCCUUGUGCGAAUUUCACAGGAAUGCGAACCUUGUGCGAACCUUGUGCGAACCUUGUGCGAAUUCAUUUUUGGGACAAAUUUUCAAAACCAUGCUCUCUGUCUUGGUACUCCACAGGAAUGCGAAAUUUUCGCACAACACAAGGUGUCGUGCAAAAUUUGCACUUCCUCUUUAAAGGUCGUGUUCUCCUCUUCCAAUGCUCAAUUUCUUCUUCAUUUCUCUCAACACCUCUCUUCCGAUCACCCAAUCCCUUCCUUAAGCCCUUUUUCUUCAUCAUUCCCCACUCUCAGCACCACCAUGGCGGCCCAUCUCCAUAACUCCACUCCAUAGCCGCGGCAUUCACUNNNNNNNNNNNNNNNNNNNNNNNNNNNNNNNNNNNNNNNNNNNNNNNNNNNNNNNNNNNNNNNNNNNNNNNNNNNNNNNNNNNNNNNNNNNNNNNNNNNNNNNNNNNNNNNNNNNNNNNNNNNNNNNNNNNNNNNNNNNNNNNNNNNNNNNNNNNNNNNNNNNNNNNNNNNNNNNNNNNNNNNNNNNNNNNNNNNNNNNNNNNNNNNNNNNNNNNNNNNNNNNNNNNNNNNNNNNNNNNNNNNNNNNNNNNNNNNNNNNNNNNNNNNNNNNNNNNNNNNNNNNNNNNNNNNNNNNNNNNNNNNNNNNNNNNNNNNNNNNNNNNNNNNNNNNNNNNNNNNNNNNNNNCGCGGCAUUCACUAUUCAUCACCGCCCACUCCUUCAAUUUUCAUCUCCUUCCACCAUAAAAAACCUUCCAAUUCUUCACUCAACACUCUAAAUCCAUUCCUCAACCAAUCCCAACCUUGCAUUUACCAAACCAAAGCCUCAAGCUAAGGAUUCAAGCCACGUUUUCUUCAAAGGAAACCCAUUGCCGCCGGGUAGAGGAGCUCCAAAUUUCAAAUUCUCUUCGUAAAAAAGCUCCAAUUUCCAAGCCUAACCACCAUGAAAAAUCUUUUUCCUACCUUAGCCAGCAUUUCCCACCCUCAAAAGCCAAAAAUUUUCACCAUUUGAACGAGCUUCAAAAUUGCAAAAGGGCGGGUGAAUAGUGCUUGUGCGAAAUUUUCGCACAACACCUAGUGUUGUGUGAAAUUCGCACAACACCCCCCUUGUGCGAAAAAUUCGCACAACACCCCCCCUUGUGCAAAUUUUUAGUUUCUCCAUCCGUACCCUCCCCAAUCCCAAGCCUCUAAGCCUCAUUUCAUUGCUUCAUCAUGCCUAAGACCCGAGGAGGACAUACCUCAGCUCCCUAGAGCAGUGAGAGAGCCGCCCCUGUGCGGGCCCCACUAGAUGCGCCGCCACAUUUAGCUGAUUCUACCCCUCAGAGCAGAUACCAUACGAGGAGAGCAUCUGCCACGCCUGUGGCCCAUACUCAGAUUCCACCUCGGGGUCCUCCUACAAAGAAAGCCAAGACUUCAGAGCCAAGGGAAGUCCCUCCUGCUCCAUCCACUUCAGCUCCCUCGGAGCCUGUACCAGAGGCAGCAUCAUCUGAUGCCCCACUUGCUGUUCCUCCUACCUCAGAGCUGCCCAUCACUAUCCCUACUACAGAGUACCGUGACUUGCUCGCUUCUUUCCAGACUCUGACCACUACUNNNNNNNNNNNNNNNNNNNNNNNNNNNNNNNNNNNNNNNNNNNNNNNNNNNNNNNNNNNNNNNNNNNNNNNNNNNNNNNNNNNNNNNNNNNNNNNNNNNNCUUUCCAGACUCUGACCACUACUCAGACGGCCAUUAUGGAGCGGAUGGACCACUUCCAGCUUCAGUAGGACCAGCAGACUCUCAUUCUCCGUGAGAUUCAGCAGCACCUCGGUCUUUUGCCACCAGCUCCACCUGUAGAGAUGCCUUCCUCAGUUCCAGCAGAGGACCCCUCCUAUCCACCAGAGAAGCCUACUACUUGAUCAUAUGAUCACUCAUCUCUCUUUUUGUAUUUAUAUUCUACGUUUUUGGAUGUCUUAUAUAUUUUGGACCACUUUUAUACUGGGAUUGGAUAUAUUCCAUGUUUAUCUUGUAUAUUGUACUCUCUCUUAGUUUAUAUAGACAUCUUUUUUUUUUAAUGUAUUUUAGCUAUUCUUUUUUAUUCCCUCUAAUCAUCACUCUUAUGAUUUUUCUUUUCUUUUGCAACAUGUGGUUUCUCCUGUUCAUUCAGAGUCCCUUACUAUCAGGAGGUAUCACUUCCUCCCUUUUAUUAUCACUUGUUUUUAGAACAUUGGAGACAAUGUUCAUCUUAGUUGGGGGGAGAGUUGAGGAAGUAAUUUGUUGAAUUUUGGUUAAGUUAUAUUGCUAACAAAUUUUUUGCAAACUCUCCUUGUUUUCUUAAAGAUAAAUUCUUAAAAAUAAAUAGGAGAAAUUAAAUUCUUAUCUUAUUGCCAUAGUCUCAGAGUUUGUAUUAUGCUUAUUAAAGUUGUUAAAUUGUUGAAGCUCCUUUUGAUUUCAAUCUUAAUUCUUCCACUCUAAUCUUUUCACACACUGAACACAUUAGAUUCCAGUUAUAAGAUGGAAAACUUUCUCACCUCCUAAACUUAAGAAAUUUUCGACUUGGUACCAUUGACCUCAUUCUAUUAGUGUUGGGACACCUUAUAAAAGGCCAAUGUGUCUUAUGAAAUUUUUUUUUUUUGCUUCACUUGCUUUGAAACCCGAGCAAGGUCCGAGGGGUAUAUGGUGAAAAUCUUUAAAACCUGGUGCCCUAAGCCUUCAAUGGUUGGGAGUCACCGACCUCACUGCUCGUUACAUGGGGUGGAUGAGUGGAGUAUAUAUUUAAAAAAAAAAAAAAAGAGGUGUGUUCUUAGCUUUCUAUAUAUGAGUUAGUGUUGCUAAGUUAGAGAAAACCUUAGUUGGGGGGAGAAUAUAGUUUGAACCACUAUAACUGGAAACUAAGCAUCUUNNNNNNNNNNNNNNNNNNNNNNNNNNNNNNNNNNNNNNNNNNNNNNNNNNNNNNNNNNNNNNNNNNNNNNNNNNNNNNNNNNNNNNNNNNNNNNNNNNNNAGGGACUAGCAAUGUGUCAGUUGGGGGGAGUGAUUACUACCCAAAAAGUGUUAUUUUACACCUUUAAUGCAUUAUGUUUAAGCACUUUUGUGUAGUAGUUCUCCAUCUUUAGUCCAAUUGGCAUGUUAAGGACCUAGAAAUGUCUUCUAAUCAUAUUUGUGGCUAGUUUUAGUGUUUUUACAGCUUUUUGGAUCAUUAAGACAAGCCAAGCAAAGGAGAGAAGCAAAGAGAAGCAAAGUGAAAAAAUCAUAGGACAGUAGCUUCAGUCUUCUUUCGCACUUUUGGAGCACUUUCUGAAGUCCAUUUUCUACAUGCUAUAUACCAUUUCAAAGCUCAGGAAGUCAAGAAUCCAACGCUUCAAACCGUGUAUGAUUUGGAGCUGAAAUGAGGAAGAUAUGGCCUUUGGAAGACAACUGCUCCAGGCUUGUGCGAAAUUUUCGCACAACACCUUCAAAAUUCGCACAGCCCAUGCGUGGUGCGAAUUUUCCUCUGUUUUUGCCAACUCCACUUUAGAUAUUUUCCUAUGUAUUUUUUGAUGUAAUUUCCUUUCUUAUCCUUGUAACUAACCAAUCACAAGCUUUUGCUUUUGUAAAGACUAUAUAAGGGGUGGAAAUCACCUCUUUGAAUAUAUGUGAUAUGUGUUACGUUUAACACUUAGAAAAAUAUACAGAGCUCUCUCGUUUCUCUUUUCUCUUUACUAUUUUAUUUUUCUUGGAAGCCAAACAACCUCUGAGGAUAUUUUCCCGAAAGAUGAGAGCCUAAACUUUUGGUUUCUUGGAGUGAAGGAAGCCAGGUGAAAAGUCCAGAUGAAAAGGUGGAAAGCUUCCGUGCAUUAAAUUCAGGUAGUUGGAGUUCAUAAAUGGCUUCUAAAUCCAAAGUUUUGCUUUAAAUCCCUUAGAAUCACUUUGAAUGGCCAAUACAUGGUAAGCUUCAGGUCUCUAUGGAUGCUUAUUACUAGAUCCAUAUCAGUCCAUUAGUUAUCAUGAACGAGCCACUGGAAAGUGAUUCAAGGUGAAGACCCAUAGUGUCUAAAGCCAUUAAUGGACCUUGACUACCAUUCCUAUUGACUUUUUAUGGAUUAAAUCUUCAUUGUCAAACCUAUACCGGUUCAGGAAAUAACUAUAGGUUAAAUCCCCAAUGCGAGGAGAAAAAUCCGGAAUUUUCCACUUUGCAUUCUGAACUUGAUCCUAGCAACCCUUAGCUCCGGGAGACUUUCUUUCUUCCAUUUUCACUUAGUUUAUGUUAGUUUAGUUUCAAACACUUUCAAAACAAAUUUUUAUUUUCUUUUAAACUUUAAGUUUUUGAUAAAGGAAAUCAUUAAAUUCAAUUUCUAAUCUUGAGUAUAUCACUGGUAGAAUGAAAACUCAUCCAAGAGUUCGACCCUAGAGCCACUAUACUAUAGUAGCUUUGCUACGCUAGUAUGAGGUCAUAGGUUUUAUAAAUGUUUUUGAUUAAAUGACCCAAGUGGAGUUUCACGCGAAUCAGAAAUUUAAUACCUAAGCACCUACAAUAUGUUAAACUCCACCUAUUCACCCUUAUAACGAGCAUUGAGGUCGGUGACUCUCAACUAAUAAAGGCUUAGGGCACCGGUUUUUAAAGACUUUCGCCAUAUACCCCUCGGACCUUGCUCGACUUUCAAGGCAAGCGAAACACUUUAUUCUUUUUUUUUCAAAGGCUUAUUGGCCUUUUAUCAGGUGUCUCAACACUAUUAAAACGAGGUCAAAGGUACCAAGUCUAAAUUUUCCUAAGUUCAGGUGGUAAGAUAGUUUUUCAUCUUAUAAACGAAACCUAAUGUGCAUAGUGUGUGGUAAGAUUAAAGUGGAAGAAAUAAGGUUGAAAUCAAUAAGAGUUUCUAUAAUUCAUCAACUUCAAUAAACAUAAUACGACUCUAAUAUUCAAGUAAAAAGGUAAGAACUCAAUUUCUCCCAUUUCAUUUUGAUAAUUUUUCUUUAAUAACCAUGGAGAGUAUAGUAAAAACUUUUAAAAUUAAACAAUUUUUUUUUAAAUUAAGCAAAAGUACUUAAUUAACAAAAUAAUUUAGCAUUAUUAACAAUACUUCCUUCUUUUACUCUCUCCCCAACCAAGAUCAACAUUGCCCUCAAUGUGGCAAGAACGAUUGUAAAUAAAGGGAGAAAGUGGUACCUCCUAAGUGACAUGGAGUCUGAGUCGUAUAGGAAAAACCACAUGAUUCAAAAAACAAAAGAUUAAUGAGUAAACAAGCCACCCUGGACCCUGAUGGUAGGAACAAUGCAGAUCCAUCCUGAAGCGUAGUGGCACGGGUUGGGAUAUAGGUCUAAGAGCCAACUGAGUCAACAAACCACCCUUCAUGAGCUUUUGGAAAACUCGACUCAAAGGCAUACCUAGCUGGGAGAAAUGUCAUGUCUGUCUCUAUUAAAGAGGAAUAACAGUCUGUGGGGCUCGGGGUCGAGGGUAUAAAGUAGGAGGUCUCUUUGAAACCUGUGCAACAAAAACAAGAUCUAGGGUCUGGUGUAGGUAUGUAGGAGCCAUGGGCCUGAGUAGUCUAUAUUGAACAUUGCACUAUGGGUAAUAGGCUCCUGAAGUCUGCCCAAAUGUUUGAUAACGCCUGGGAGGUCUCAAUCCUGUUGAACUAAUAUUACCCACAUCUUCUGGUCUCUAUCAUCCUGAGGGCUUCUUUCUUUUUGAGUCAGGAGGGGAAGACUCGAGCCACAAUCCUCUAGCAAUGCCCUCCUCUAUACCAUAUAAAGCCUGUACCAAGGAUCCAAAAUCCAUAUGAGGAAAUCUCAUCAAAUGUCUGGCGAAUCUGAGCUGUAAACUCCUUAAAAUCACAUUAAUAUGGUCCCUCUUUGAAGGACGAUCAACAAUCUGAGUGAUUUUCUCCCUCCAUCGAGAGAUAAACAAAGUCACUGACUCCUCUAGUCCCUAUCUUAAGACCUCUAGCUCUCUCCUCGAGACGUCAAUGACAACAUUAAAUGCAAACUGUCUCAAAAACUCUUGGGCCAAAUCAUCGCAAUUCCUACGAUGUGAGGCAUUUAAGGAAGCAAACCAACGCUAUGCUGCACUACUCAACGACAAGGGGAAAAGCAUGAUCAAGUGGGCCUCAUCCAACCCAUGGGCCCUCAUCACACUACUGUAUAACCUCAAAUGAAUCUUAAGGCAACCUAUGCCCAUAUACCUCUCAAUAUCUGACAUCCUGAACUGGGCCAAUAAACUGGCCACUGGUGCUCCAUCAAAAUCAUCCCAAUUGAUAGCUCCAUUUGAAACCCUCAUCCGUCUCAUUCUCUACUCGAAUCUAUCCAUAUGAGCAUGUGCAUCCUCUAAGAUUGGAACGGGUGCUACGACAGGAAGUGGUGUAGCAUCAAUCUGACUAUGUAAAACAUACGAUGCAGGGUGUGGAACCGACUAAUUGAGUGGAGGAGGUGGUGAUGUUGUAGAGUCAUAUUGUGCACUAUCCCGAGGCGGGGCCUACUGCCCAUCUAUUCUCUGGGAGAGGCCGGCUAUAACCUCCUAAAUCAAAGCCAUGGUCGCGACAAACUGGGCAAUAGUGACUACCUGUGAGUCCAUAUCUCUCUGAUCUAGUCUUUAGUUUGGCUGAUCUGAUGCUCUAGUCAACCUGCCUCUAACUCUAGUCCAUGAAGGCGAAUUCAGAUUAGGCAUAAAAAUACUCCUAUAAACACAGAAACACUGGAUGAGACGCUAUACAGGAGUAGCUCUGUAGGAAUCGACUUAAAGGUAAUCAAGCAUACAACCCAUGUAUGCUGAAACUGAUACUCGUAUCUGAUCAUACCAGAAUGAGACUAUGGAGAGGGUAACCGAACCCAAUUGUAACCAAGGCAGCUCUGAAGGUCCAUAGAUGCACCCACGUGUGGGAAUGAAAUCUUAAUUAGGUUUAAGCUAACCUAAAAGGUUGAUGUGGCUCUAUAAGAUAAAAUCAGUGGGUUAAAGGAUCCCUAACAAAAGCGAUCGUACCCUCCGAUGAUACACAACCCUUUGCACACCUCCAAGGAGAGGGGAUGCUUCCAUGCAAGGUGGUCAUCACCUCCACACAUGCAUUUCCUCGCAUUCCCAGGGGGUUUCUUAAUGGUAAAGGCUCUCUUAUAUCUCAACACUCAAGGAAAAUCUAAAGUGCAAAGUGAAGGAUGUGGGUGCAUCAGAAAAACCUAAGAUCUAAAGUGGGAUAGUGAACAAAGACAAGAAAUCAUACAAUCAUGCAAAAGAAAGGGUUGUCAUACAAUAAGGAGUUAUUUGAAACAGAUAAGUUUCAUACAAUCAAGGUCCUAUCUAACAUAUGUGAAAGUGAAUCAUGCUGAAGUGAGCAAAGCAAUCAAGUGAUCCUUCAAGGCAAUCAAACAUGUUAGAUAGCAAACCAAGCAAGCAAACAAACUAAAUCGUCUUGUUUAAAAAAAGGAGGUACCCUCUAAUCGACUAAUUAAAUGCCACAUUUUCCUCAACUAAUGUUCAAGCUUGAUCCUCAAAAUCCCCAAUGGAGUCAGCAAUUUGUGGACCCGCAUUUUUCACGUGCACCCCUACUCUAUUGUGAGACUCGCUUUUAUUGGUGAAAAUUUGAUUUUGGAAAAGUUAGAGUCGCCACUUAUUUUAUUUUAUUUUAAAGGGAAAUUAAAAUAAGAAAUAAAACCCUAGAAAAAAAUAACUCCAUAGUUUUUGGAAAAGUGUGUCUUUGGAAAACCCGAGUCUAGGUCCAGGAAUCAGGUUACCUAUUGGGAAGGUAUCUCUAAAAGGUAGUACCCCUCUAACCCCUACAAAGGUCUCUACUAACUAAGUUGAGGGAAAUGUGGCAAUUAAUUGAUUAAUUGAGGAUACCUAGGUAGACUAAGGUGAUGUAAAAAAAAAUAGCAUGCCAAACAAGAUCAAAUCACAAUAAAGAAGAGUUAGGAUGCGUACCCGAACCACUUCUUAAGCGCUUUCAUAAAACAUCAGAGUUAGUAUAAAAAUAUAACACACGACAUGUAUUUAAUCAUAGCAAAUCAAGCACACAUCUAAGCACUUAAGGAUCAUAUCAAGCAUAAAUAAGGCUCACGACAACAUGCAUGUUCAUGGAAUUCUGAAAAGAAAUGAUAGAGAGCGUACCUUGAUAACAUGCAUAAUUUAUAAGAUUCCUCCAAAAAUGUUAGAAUGGUUAGGAAAAGUAUAAAUUAUAUAACAUCUCUAUUAUGUCUAAUAUACAGUACCAAAUCCAAAAGUGAACCAAGGUAAGUCAAAUGACUCCAAAAGCAGAUAACAAAUUCAAGCAAGUACUGAGUCAUCAACAUGCAUAUAGUAAAGAUAGCAUCACAAAACAAUUGCUAAAAAAAUGUCUUGGAGUGGAAUUUAAUCACAAAAAAUUUCAAGAAGCUACUCCUACGUAUCUAGAACAAGAUACCAAAAUCCAAACACUCAUUUGAAUGACAAAUUGCAGCAAAGACACCAAAAAGUUCCAAAAGGUCCAGAUUAGGUAAAAAAAAUAGUGACAUGCAUAAAUGAUUUUUUUUAAAAAAAUAAUAAGACAUCACAUAAAUCCGUACAAAAAAUCACAUACAUCGUUCAAGGUGUCUAUAUCAAAAGGAAAACAAAUUUAGGGUUGGGUAGUACUCUAAAAUAUUUUUAAAACGCUCCAACGUAAUUAGAUGUCCAGAUUCCAUCAUGCACAGUAGGUGUCUAAGAUCAAUUUCAAGAAGCCUAGAAUUGAGGAAAAAUAUUGGAUCAAAUUUAAAAAUCGUCUGGUAUUUUAAUUUUGCAAAAAGAUCUCGGGUGUCUAGAUCUGGGUGAAAACAAAGUCCCCUUAAAAACUCGUUUAUAUCUUUUAUUCCAGAAUGACUUUCUAACUCAAACGAAACUUUAAAUUUCAAGUUCAAGAAGUGAGGAAAGUCAUACAAGAUUUGGAAAUUUUUUUAAAAACAUUCCAAAGUUGCUAAAACAAAUUUUAAAUCUAAAGGGUCAGUGGCUGAGUGAAAACUGGUAGCAAGGAAGAGUUUUAAAAAAUUUUCUUAUGUAGGAAAUUCACCAAUUCCCCAAUUGGCAUACAAAAGUCUAGCCUAGAAUCAUCCCAUUUAUUUGGGACCACAAACUUUGAUUCGUGUUUUAUUCAAAACUAAAAUUUUCAUUGAAAACCGAGAAAGAUGCAAACUAAUCAAAAAAUGGUUGCAUAUUAUUUUAAGAAAAUGAGAUUUGGAUUAUAAGGACUCUAAAUGGAUUUUUUUUUUUUAAAUAGAUUUUUAUGAGGAACAUUUUGAGAAAUGUAUUUUAUUUUAUUUUAAAAUAAAAUAAUUUGAAAAAAAAACAGAACAUAAUAAAAAAAAAUACCAAGCAAAACAAAAGAAAAAACAAAAUCAUAAAAUGAUUAUUUUUUUACAACCGAGCAAACUAAAAUAGUAAGAAUGGAGGCCAAUCUUCACUAUUUUCUGAUGGCCUCCAAAAAGUAAAUUUUACCAGAGACUACUAAAGCAAUAAACUGUUCAAACUUAAAUCAAUUAAAUUAAUGACUAAUAUUCAAGGAACAUAUCAAUUAAGAGUAAUAAUCACGAAUUAACACGUGAUCGAUUAAACACACAAACGCAUCUAGAUUGAUUAAAAUAGACCAAAUUAAAUCAGGGCAAACAUGAAUUUUCAAUCAUAGAAUUAAUUUUAUUAGUGAGCUAAUAUUAUAGAAAAUACCUAACUGAAUAGAUGAGUGAAGUUAAACCAGCGUAAACUAAACACAAACACCUUCUAAAUGUGGAAUUGAUUUUAUUAAUAACUUAGAAUUAUAAAAAAAUACCUAAAAUAAUUAAAAUGAAUCAAAUGAAAUGAAAGCAAGCUAAAACAAAAUAUGAAUUCAUAGAAUCAGUUUCCUAAAUAAAUUUACAUUAUUAAAUUGAAAUCUAAGCUCAAAAUGAAUUAAACACUAAUUACGACAAAUUUAAGAAUCAAAUAUUUAACAAAUAAGAUCAAUUAUUUCAACAAACUAAAAUUUUACUUUAACCAAAAAUUAAAUUAUAAAACUACCCAAAACAAAUUUUAUAACUAAAUUUCUAACCUAUAAAAUCAAACUCAUUAACAAAUGGAUAAGUAGAUAACACAUAAAUGAAUAAAUAUGACUAAAACGAAAUAUGAACUCACGGAAUUAAUUUUUUUUAACUAAACUUACAUUACUAAAAUAAAAUUUAAGCUUAACAAACGUUUUUAACACUAAUUAAGGCAAGUCUAAAAUCUAAUAUUUAACACAUAAAAUCAAUCAUUUCAACAAACUAAAAUUUUACUUAAACCUAAAGCCGAUUCAAACUACCUACAACAUAUUUUUUUUAAAAAAAAUUGAAUUUUUAACCCAUAGGAUCAGUCUUAUUAAUAAAUAAGAAAUAAAUAAAUGAAUUACAAAUCAUUAAAUUAGUAGCAAAUAAAUACAUAAACAACUAAUAAUUAAAUGAAUCAAAACUAAAUUAAAUAAAGAUCAAACUAUAUUUUUUCUCAAAGUAAAACUACAUAAAAUUUUAUUUUCUGAAUUUAAUAUAAUAAAUCAAAACUAACCUUAAACACAAUUCUAAUCUUUAGUGUAAUAAAUCAAAAAUUAAACAAGAGUGAGAUUCAUGCUGCCAUGUUAAAACAAAUACAUGUUGGAGCUAACAAUAUAAGUUAAAUCACUCACCCAAUAUAAUAAUCACACUUGAAAAAUAAACCAAAACUUUAAAUUCUACUGAAAACCUAUAUAUAUAUAUAACUUACCUAGUCGGCUUACCAAAACAACUUGGUGACGUGUAACUGUUUUCUCUUCUCCGAUGAUGCUCUAGAACAAUGGUGUACUGGUUGAUGGAGUUUUGGUUCUUCAGCCAAUACUAUUCUUCCCUAUCAGCAGAUAAAUAGUACAGAACUCGUCUCAAGGAACGGUAAGUAUAAAUUUAAGAACUCCAUGCAAUUGGUUUUCAACUAUUCUGAUAGCCAUUGGAAUACGGAUAUUGUGUUCCAGAAGUUGGAUGAACAUGGAAAUGUGUGGUAAGAGAAUGGAGAAAAGCAAAUUCUUUCGAAUCUUAGUGUGGCCUGGUUGCAUAGAUCGACCCUUGACGAUGAUGGGAAUUUGAGAGUUUACCAUUUUCAGGAAGGCAUGGAUGGGUGGGCUGUUGUUCGACUGGUUCUCGGUUUUCGAUCAAAUGAAGAUUCAGAAUACUAAUGCGACAGGAAAAUUCAGAUGACACAAACACCAACUCCAGCUUGACUACGUCAACUUCAGCGACAGGGUCGACCAAAACAAUCUGGGUGUUCAGGUUGUUACCAUCGGUGAGUCCAAAUGUCGCAUUCCUUCUUUUGCUUCGAAAUCCUCCCGUUCUUCCCUCUCUUCUGAUGCGUGCUGAAAGUGUAUCAAGAAUGGUGCGGCUGGUUUAUGGUUCCCUUCCCAAAGACGUCAAUUUCUCUAAAAAUAAAAAAUCCAACCUUCAUCCAUGAAUCCACCCUCCAACCUUUUUUCGAUGAUUUCCUCCAUAAAGUUGGAGAUCUCUUCUUUACUCUUUGUGUAUGGCAGUCUCUCCCUCUCCUCUCCAGAAUGCUGGAUCCUGUUCCACGUGCUCUUUCUUCUUCUUCUUUUUUUCUUUAUUUUAAUCUCUUCUCAAUCACCCCUCAGCUCCUCUCUCCAGCCACGGUAAUAGAAGGAACAGUAGAAACAAUCGUCCUUUCUCUUUUCAGAUCACCCUCAAUCUUUUUCAGUAAUCCAUCAGACCUCCCCUUAAUAGUGCGUUUUUUUUCUUUUUUUCUUAAUCUUUUCUCCAUCACUUAGUCAGCUUCUCUACAACCACGGUGAUGGAAAAAACGGCAGAAAAAGGCUUUCUUCUCCUCUUCCAAUCACCCUCCAUCCCCUCCAAUUUUCUUUUUUUUUCUUUGCUUUUCCUUUUCUCUUUUCCUCUCUCUCCAAUCCACUGACUGCCUCCAUCUUUCCUUUCUAAUGGUGUUUUUCUUUUUUCUUUUACGGAACACGUGGGAUCCAUGCAAAACAAAUAAUAAAAAAAUUAAAAAUAAAAAUACCAAUAAAAGAAAACUAAGGGUUACAAUAAUAAUAAAAAAACGUGUAAUUAAGAAUUAAAAAUCCAAAAUAUGCAAUUUUAAACAAAAUUAAAAAAUAUAGAUCACAUGCAAAACUAAAAUGAAUUAUCCACUCAAGUAACUUUAUAUCAAAAUAAACUAAUAAAUAGAUAAAUAAAAACAAAAUGAAUAUGAUUAUUAAGCUCAUGCAAUUUCCUAAAAAUAAAUAAAUAAAUGAAUAAAACUAAUGAAUAGAGAAAGAUAAAAAUAAAAACAAAAAACAAAAAACAAAAUCAAGCAUAUGCAAGCCAUACGAGCUAUGCAACCAUGCAAGCCAUACGAGCUAUGCAACCAUGCAAGCCAUGCAAACCAUGCAUCCAUGCAAAAAAUGACCUAAGUGGGCCUAAGGUGCCUAAAUGGGCCUAUGGUGCAUAAGUGGGCAUAUGGUGCCUAAGUGGGCUUAAGGUGGUGCCUAACGAGCCAAGCGUGCAUAAAUGGGCGUAGGGUGUCUAAGUAGGCCUAGGGUGGUGCUUAAGAGGCCAAGUGUGACUAAAUGGACCUAGGGUGCCUAAAUGGGCCUAAUGUACCUAAAUGGGCCUAGUUGGUGCCUAAUGGGUCAUGUGUAUCUAAGUUGGCCUAAAGUGGUGCCUAAUGGGUCUAUGGUGCCUAAGCGGGCCUUAGGUGCCUAAGUAGGCCUAUAGUACCUAAUGGGCCUAAGGUGCCUAAGCGGGCCUAAGGUGCAUAAGUGGGCUUAUGGUGCAUAAGUGGGCCUAUGGUGCCUAAGUGGGCCUAAGUGGACCUAUGGUGCAUAAGUGAGCCUAAUGGUGCCUAAGUGGGUCUAAGGUGCUUAAGUGGGCCUAUGGUGCAUAAGUGGGCCUAUGGUGCAUAAGUGGGCCUAUGGUGCAUAAGUGGGCCUAUGGUGCCUAAAUGGGCUUAAGGUGCCUAAGUGGACUUAUGGCGCCUAAGUGAACCUAAUGGUGCAUAAGUGGGCUUAUGGUUCCCAAAUGGGCUUAAGUCUAAACUAGGGUUGCCAAGAGUCACAAUGGAGUUAAAUAAAUCCCUCAACCAAAGUCCCCAAGGUGGCUUAGAAAAGAUAGGCUACACAAGUAGUAAUGGGCCAUCAGGGAAUUGUUGUAAAAUAUGGAACAAAUACCUAAUAGGACAUGUGCUAAGAGGACAAAAUGGAGGGUUUACAGUAACAUGAUCUCACAUCAUUAGGAGAGUUGAGAAUUUCAUCAUGCUCAAAAAAAAAAUUCCUCUAAGGGAAUGGUUUAUCAUCCUUGCUGUCGCAUUUUGUACUUAGUGAUUGUGAGUGGAAUACUUUUAUUAUUGACUUAUCUAUUUUUUAAUUCCUCAUUGAUUAACAUUUGACUAGGAAAUUUGGCUUUAGACUGCAACUAUAGGCUCUGAAUGCUAACAUCUUACUAAAGGAUUCAUCUAUAUGCAUCCAAAAACUCUGGAAUCAUGGAAUGUGCUCUUAGCUUUGUCCUUAUUGGUUAAAGGAAGUAUUUCCUGCCAUACUUCAAUUGUAAGUUGUGAUAGAAAACAAUUUUCAAAAUACUGAUUUUACCUUUUGGUAAUGAUGGAAUUUAUGUUGUACAUGCAGAUGAAAGAAAAAUUUCUUACCUUUGGGGCAACUUAUUAGUAGGUGCAAAGGUAAAUAUCCUAAACAUGAAAUUUCUAUUUAAUGAAAGCGGAAUUUCUUACCUUUGGUGCUCCAUUCUUUUUUAAUUUUGGUACAUGUGAUUCUAAUUUCAUGUCUAAAAGUUUUUGUUAAUCACCUCUUGCACUAUUCUAAGAAGGUUUUGAGGUCAUGUAUUACAUAUAAAGUCUCAUCAAUUAAGAAAAAAAAAAAGAUGAUAUGAGUUUUCUCCCAUUUUCAUAUAGUAUGGGCGAGUGGUGUUACCAAAGGUUUGAGGUCCUUAAGGAGUUAGAAACUUUAUCAAUCAAAUCUUUAAUAAAUGAUAAGAGAAAUAAAAUUAGAUAGUAGAGAGAAGAAAAAACUUCAAAUCUAGAACAAGCCUUUGUUUUAUGAUUUCCAUGUUUCAAAUUGAGCUUUUAAUUUGGUAUCUCAAUCUUUAGUUCUACCUAGUGCUUAUUUUUUAUGAUCUAAAUAGUUGAGCUUUAAUGUUAUUCUACUGAAGAUAUGAGUCUUCACUUUUACCUUGUCUCAACAGUUCUUGCAUUUCUAAGCAUCAUGUGUCAUUCUUUUGAAGGUUAUUCAAUUUUCAGACUCCUACUUUACUCAAAUUUUCUUAUGGGAUUCAAUAAAUUGUCAUAAUUGUAGGAUAUGGGAUGGGAUUGAGAAAUAGGAACUGAUGUUAUCUACUCUUUGGAGAGAGUGUGGAUGAAUAAAAUGUGAUUCGAUUAUGUGUAAAAAUAUGUUUUAUAUGUAUUUUAUCUUUUGAUUGAGCUUUUGGGAUGUUUUCUUUUCAUAAUAAGGUUAAAGUUUCAAUAUUUUCUCUUGUAGUUCACACUUCAAAUGAAUAUUUGUAAGUUUGAUAUUGUUGUAAGCACUAGUCUUGUAGAUUCUUUUUUUUUUUUGAUGCUUGUGACAAUUUUUAUCUCAAGAAUAAAAUGAAUUCAUAUUAUUAUUCAUCACAUGUUCUUUCUUUGAAAUCAAAAUAGGGAUUCAUCUUGUGAAAUACUCUUGGGAGUGAAAAAAAACCCUUCUUGGGAGCCCUAGAAACUCUUGCAUUCUUGGAAUGAACUUAAAAUUUCAAUCUAUAAUGAGGUAAGAACAAAGGAUUUGUAUUAUUUAGUGGCUUGAUUUGGACAAUAUAUUGCCUGUGUGUAGACCCCCAUUUUGGGGAGACAUCUCUACAGCCCGAUUAUGACAAGUGUCAUCGUCUGGGAUGACCACGUGUCACUCCAGGACUGGUUGAUAGGGUAUCAAGUUAGUGGUUUUGAUGGCCAAUGGAAGCUUGACACGUGGAGAUUUCUUUCAGCAGAAAAAGCUGAAAAUCGUGAAGGUUGGCAGCUGCAGGGUAGUGGGGAAGAGGCUUGGCCGUUAGAGAUUUUUUGGAACUGAAAGAGAGAACGGGACAGUGAGAGAGAAAAGUUUUUUUGGGGGGAGUUUAGAGAGAUUCUAGAGGAGCAGGCUGGUUACUGAAGGACGAGAGAGAGAAAAACAGGGGGAUUAGAGGAGGAAGGGAGAGAGUUUGAGGGUGAGUUUCUGGCUUAGAGGAGAGGCUACCGGAGGAGAGAACGGGGAGCAGGCCAGCUGCAGAGUAGAGGUUUUUGGCUGCCGUUUUUCAGAGACCUUGAGAGUUGAGGGAGGGAAACUAAGAAAAACAGAACAUGUUUCUGGAGAGAGGGUGCUAAUUUUGCAGUGAGGCAGCUGCAUUGAGGAGAAGAGCAUGGAUCUGAGGAGAGGAAGAACAUACUAAGAAGAGGAAACUUUCAGGUUUGGUUACUCUGCUUUUUCUUUAUAUGUUCAUUCUUCAUCUUUUUAUAUAUAUAUAUAUAUAUAUUUCGUCCUCCAUGAUUUUCAUCUUGUUUAUUGGAUUGCCUUUGGUUUGGCGAUUAUGGCCUUGAUAUUUGAAAGAUUUUGAGGCACAUUAUUCCCUUUUCUGAUGAACUUUUCUUUCUCACCAUAAUAUAUUUGUUGUCGGGUCCAUGGAUAAAAUAUUGAAAUGGAUUCAACAUGUUGGUUAAAAGACUUGUUUUCAAUUCUUGUUGCUAUCCUCUCGAUCCUCUGUUUUUCCCUGCAUAUAUGCUCCCGGCUAUGAAAUUAUGAAAAACUGGAUUGAAGAUGGGUCUGGCAGUUCAUGGUCCGCAGGGUUGAUGAGACUAUUGCAGUAUAGAAUAGCAGUUUUAUGGGGGAUGAAUAAAAGCUUUGUGGAUGAAAUGAGAUAUAAAUCAAGGGAAACUGAAACAGACCUGGGUCUCUCUCUUCACUCUGUUUUUAUCCUCAGAUUUAGAGAAGUAUGGAGACUUAGCAACUAGCAGAUCUCAAUCUUAAGAAGGCAUCCCAACUUGGAGAAAUGGAGAGUGAAGGUGACCUGGGAAGAAGUCUGGAUCUAGUAUGCAUAUCUAAGCGUACUCCGAAUCGAUGUAGAGGAAAUAUUUCUUAAGGGAAGGCAUCUAAAAAUUGGUGAGAAAUACCGUCUGGGUUUAUUCCAGCUUUGAUGCAGAAAAUGAUCCUAUAAGGAGGUGAAAUGCAGAGGAGGGUUCAGCAUGAGAUGCGGCAAUGCAGUCCCGUUUGUAAUCGGGGGGCCCACAUGUAUAAUUGUUAUUUGCAUGGUCACUUUUUCUCACCACUCUUUUAACCACUGUACCCAUGUACUAAUCCAAUGCUUUACAUGCCCGCUGCCCACUCCCUCAUCCCUAUACUUCACCAUACCCAUUCAUUGCCUAUGUGUAUCAACUAUCCAUUUCUCUCAUUCUUUCUCUCUCUAUCCCACCAUGCAACCCAUUGCUUCAUACCCACAUCCACUCAUCCUACACCCGCGGCUAAAGCUUAUACCCAUAUCCCAUACCUUUAUGCAUGAACUCACUUAACUCCACUCUUGAACUCCUUUCUCUCUUCAUUAUUGUGCACCACUCGUCAUCUCUCAUGCCCUUCCCCCAAACCCAUUGCUUACUCCCUAUUCACGGACAUGAAAGUCAUCAUGCAUGAACAUUUCUAGGGGAUACCGAGUAGCUCAUCAAGAGGCAGUGCCAAUGCCAGAAUUCAGUCGAUCAAGCAGUCAUCACCCCAUAAUAUGAGAUACCAGUUCCCCACCUGAAUCGUCAAGCUUCCUUGACUCGGAUACACAGUCAACAACCAUCACUGCCGUGGCGUAAACCUGCUGGAACGUGGCUGCAUGUUGCUCGAAAACGCCCACCACUAUCAUGCCCGUCUUAGUGCAUGCAUGACCUUCUUGAAAAACAUGGAAAUGUUUGGCGCGCCUAGAGCUUGACUGGCCACAUGUGAUGAGAUUUAAAAAGGGUAUUUUGUGUCAACAUAAUGAACCUUUUGAAAAAGCUGUACGUGAAGGGUUAGAAUUAUCAAUCCCAUUCAGUUUCAAAGGCAUCCAAUUCCCUGAAGACUCCUUUUGAAGUUGUGAUUGCUAGAUUCCCCAUUACCUCAUUCUUUCAUUUCUGUUUGGUUCGUCGGAAGUGGAAUCCAUUGCUCAUUAGUGCAGGGAUGUGGUGAUGCUAGCUGAAAUUCAAAUUGUCUACAUCAUUGACUGUCUUGGUUUCGACACGUCUGAUGAACUAGCAAGCUGUGUACAUAUGAUGGCCAUGCGCACAUGCAUGAUGCUGAGGGAAAGAGCCUGAUUGGAGCCAUGUCAGGUCAUGAAAACUGGGUGCUCUGAGAGGCUAUGACGCCUUUGACUGUGGCUGGUUCAUCAGCAUAACUGGAGGAUAGCACUCAUUCCAAUAUACGGGUGUUUCUUGCUCACCUCCAGUUUGAACACUUGUUGACCUUACUGUGUGCACUGGACCCGCAAGCACGACCUGUUUUGCAUGGCCACCUUAUGCAUGUAACCCAAGAGCCACGUGUCAUCUUCCCUUUUCUCCAAUCCUCUUUGAUUUUGAAAAAGAUUUUCCCAAACUUCAUUUUGUAAAUAAUUUCCAAAAUUCCGGUUUUUAAAUGACUUCAAGUCUCCAAAGAUUUCAUCCUUAAAGUUUUUAGGACUCAACAUCCCAUUUUCAAUCAAAUUUGGUUGUCAUUUUCUUUCCGGCAAGCCACUUUUGCAUUUUCUUUGUUUUUAAAAUAAGUAAGAAUUAAAUUCCAUAAUUCCAAGUGAUGGAGUUUAUGGAAUUGAUUCAUGCAAAAUAAAUGGGCUUUGGUGGGGGCCCUACAUGUGAGACUUCAUGAUUGAUUAACUGAUUGAUUGAUUUAAUUGUCAUGAAUGAUGGAUUUUAUUAUGCUCUGUGAUAUAUCUCAUGAUUGUUAUUAUGCAGUAACCUCCUCUCUUGAUAGCGCAUGGUGGCUCGUUGGUCAGGUACACACCUAUUCUCACUCUGGUCACUCUAUAUACAUGUAUUGAUUCCCAUAUGUGCAUGAUCAAUUCAGGUAUUCAUUGAUUUCUUUAUUAGAUGCCACGAUUGCUUCAUUUUAUUAGUAGAGACCCGUCUUUAGGGACUUAGAGGGGUGCUACGGUCUUUACCGUACCUUCCCGAUAAGUAACCUGACCCCCGAACCCGAUCCGGUUUUUCGUAGAUCACCUUUUCCAAAUAAGGAGUCACACUUAGGGUUUUUCUUUCUUAUUUUGUUUACCCUUUUAAAAAUAAAACAAAAAUAAGUGGCGACUCCAAGUCAUUUUCAAACAAUAAAUAAAAAUAAAAAUUUCAAAUAAAAUCGAGCUCGCCAUCGAGUGGAAAACACAUUGAGCCGAAAAUGCGGGGUCCACAAAAUGGCGACUCCGCUGGGGAUCAUUUAGAGGGUCAAGCUUGAACUUAGAGUGAAGCAAACGUGGCAUUCGAUUGGACGAUCAGUGGAUGCCCAUUUCUUGAUUGCACAUUGUGGAUAUUUGAUGCAUGCUCGGAUUUUAUAUCCACUUGAGACUUUGACACGUCGAUCGUGUUGAUUGAUUUAUAUUGAUUGAGGAUUCUGAUGCCAUGAUUUCUUCUGUGUUUAAUUGAUAUAUUCAUUUGAGACAUUGACAUGCUGGAUCAUUAUUGAUUGAUCUUAUUGCCUUGCUUAACACAUUGAUUCUGAUUUUGCCAUGAUUGUUCUGAUCACUUCACAUGCAUACACUCAUUAUUGUACAUCAUUUGACUCGCCAUGUUGAUCCACUUGUUGCUAUAUUAUUUUGAUCAUCCUUGAGCGUGUUGUCUUUGUAUCACUAUCCAUCUGAUUGUCGUAUUCUCGCUUAUCUUGUGUGUGUACAUUGAUGAUAUAUCUGAGAUUUGUUUGAUUGUGUGUCGCAUGACUGCCCUCCUUCUGCAUGACUGCGUGCCGCUUGUUUAUGUGGGUCGCAUAUCUAUCCCCUUAUCUCCCAUCCUCUAGUCUCGGUCAUUUCCUUCAUUACGGUUUCUCUGACUGAGAUAGAGGUUAAGAGUAGGGUCUAGCGAUGGGCUAUACCGACGUUUGGGAGCAUUCUGGAGGAGAGCGGCACAUUGUUGUCGAUUGGAGUCCGAUCAUUGAAGACCUGUAUAGCCUUGAGCUAGGUUCAUGGAUAUUUGUGCGACCAGUGUGUUUCAUCUUUUGCUUUAGCUUCUUAGGGUUUCGGAUGCACCCACACCGAUCAUUGUGCACUCUAGUUGACUAUUGAGCGUUGAGAGUUUGAGAGGAUUCACCAUAGGAAACCCCCUGGGAUGUCGAGGUAGUGCAUGUGUGGAGGUGAUGACCACCUUGCAUGGAAACACCCCGUCUCUUCUGAGGCGUGCAGAGGGUUGCGUACCGCUGGAGGGUACGAUCGCUUCUGUUAGGGAUCUUUUAAAAGUCCACCCAUAUCCAUUUAGAGCCACCUUGACCUCGUAGGUUGAGCCGUAGAUCCUUCUAUUAGGACUCCCUCCCUACACAUGGGUGCAUCUGAGGGCCUUUAGAGCCUCUUUAGUUACAGUUCGGAUCCAGUAUUCCCUCUUUUUAGUCUCCAGUUGAGAGUGCUCAGAGAUUGGUAUGAGUUUGAGUAUCGGUCGGAUCACCUUUUGUCUUGUAGCCUCAGAUUCUUGUUUUUCACUCGAUGAGUUUGUCAUGUUUUCUCCCUAAGGCUUUCAUUUCUCAUUUCUUGGCUCUACACACCCCUUCACUUUGUUAUCACUCACUUGAUGCUUCGAGAUAUGUUCAUCGAUCAUGAUCAUCUUGUUUUUACACUGUACAUCUAUCGCGGGCUCAGUACCUCAUUCUUUGUUGGAUCCUUGAUUCAAUUUUCAACUCGAUGCUCAUAUUAUCAUUACAGAAAGGUGAAAGACACAUUUUCACAUUCACACUUUUUUCGAGAGAGCCGCCUUGAUCACCUUAUUAUUUUCCUCUUAUGGAGAUCGAGUUCAAAGUUGAUUCAAGGAUAUGUGGUUAUAGAUGGAGUAUUGAUCUCGUGAUAGUGUGUUUUUCACACCUCUUUUAUCUCGGAUUAUUGAUGGAGAUUCUUUAGUCACAUUUGUAGCCAUCUCACAGUGGACACCUUUAUGACUCUAGAGUUUCUGUCAUAUUUCCAGUUAUAGAUUGCCAUCACAGGACCGUAUUUCAUAUGAUGUAUUGUGCUUUUGAUUUGAGACAUAUUUUCACUUAUGCAUCAUGAUCACUCUGGCCCGACCUAUCAUGGAGGAUAUUGAGUCUAUUGACCUAGGAUCAGGAGAUCGACCUAGGGAGUUUGAGGCUGUGACCCAUUUCACCUUCUGAUUAGAGUGGUACCAUACCCACAUCCAUACCUUAGUCUUUUCAGACUGGAUGACCUACCCGUUUUGAGCUUGACAUGACACCACCCCUUGGUACCGUUACACGACCUUACCAUUCCUAUUCACCUUCGUAUAUUACAGUACCCUUGCCUAUUUCCAUCAUUUCCUUGAUUUGACCAGGCAGAGUCCGAGAUGGUUAGACCUGAGAUGAGCUCUAGACGAUGAUAUAUGGAUCAUGAUGAGAGAGUGGUUUGACUACUUGACGAUGUUGUUGAGCCAUUGCACAUGACUUCAGAGAGUCGGGAUGAUUAGAGAUGAUGUUUUUUUUUAUUUAUGAGACGAUGGUGAGUGGAUUAUGAUGAUAGAGUGAGGUGAUUAUCCGAGGACGUUGAUGAUUAUCACAGAGCAUCAGUGGGAGCUUUCACACGAUUUCGGAGGGGUUGACAUGACUUUGUUGGAUGGAUGCCAGUUUUUAGUAUUGGUCAUGUGAGAUCUCGAAAGCACGAUGUUCGAGGUUGUGGUCAAAGGAUGGGUGGCCAUCAUUUCAUGAGCCUAUUUACUUUAUCACCCUCGCAUAUAGAGUUAUCCAUUGCUAGCCCUUUGAGCCUUGCACGAGCAUGUAGCCUUUUCUUUCAUCACCUCAUUUACCUAUUACACCGGGUUGGGGACCCUAUAGUGCUUGCAUGUUAUGAUUGGAUACGUCAUGAGUUUCGGACCUGACAUACAUAUUCGAGCCUCAUUCUUCAAUCUUCACUGUGAUAUUUUCCGCUUGGACAUCAUUUCAUCACUAUUUUCCGAUAUCACAUACCACCACUUGUGAUAUUCAUUCUCUGUCUUUUCCUUUCCUCAUUGAUUACUUGACAUUAUCCUUGUUUCACCUUGAGUGGUGGUUUUUCACACGUCACUGCAUGGAGGAUUGUCACAUUCUUUCCUAUCAUUCACCCCAUGGGCAGUGGUUCAGAGAUGUUAUUUUGAGAGGUUGUCUUGUUAGUGAGGAUUCAUGUUACAUUCGUAUGUGGAGAGGGUUUGAUCAUUUGGGUAUGUAUUUUCAUGGGAGUUCAUUCACUAUUGAUCAGCGUAUGCGCAAAAAAAAUAAAAAAUAAAAAAUAAAAAUAAAUAAAUAAUAAAUAAAUAAAUAAAUAAAUAAAAUAAAAUUGAUUGAUGAUAGCGCAUUAUUCAUUGUAUCAUUCUUCAUUAGGCAUGUGUAUGGACGUGCCAGGUUGUUUCAUUGAGUUCAUAUGAUAGAGAGAGCUCGUAUGGGAGCUUAUUUUUUAGAUUCAUCUUGAAGUAUAUUUUGGGUGAGAGUAUGAUUCGCCCAUUCGUUUUUUGUGAGAGAUGCGAGUGACCUUUCUUCAGUAUCUCUGGAUCCUUGCUCUAUCCAUCAUUCCGUCUAUUUCGGAUGUGACUACUUUCCAUGCUUUGAUGCAGGGUGACCAUCACUCACUUUUCUAUCUCUUCGCCUUCUUUCAUCUUUAUUUUAUCCCUCCGUUUCACUCCACUUCAUUUUAUCUCAUUCUUUUCUCAUUCUGUCUGAUGUUUGACAUGGGUUCAGCAUCCACACUUUAUUCUUGCUUAUUCGAUGUGUCCAUUCAUUUAUCAUCACUUUUCGUGUGGGGACCUCUAGGUCCGGGACUCAUGACGUUUUCUACGCAUUGCAUAUCAUGCACGAGGGGUAUGGGGAUUAUAUCAUUGAGAUUUUUGAGCCUAGUUUCCUUUCGUUUCUUUCACCCUAUUACCUUGGCCUACGUUACGUCCCGUGUCUGAAGACCACCCUGAGGCCAUUACUUUGUAUCGUGUUUGACAGCUCCCACGUGGGCAAUACUCGAGCUUGGUCGGAGAUUAUUUCUCAGAGCAAGAUGGAUGGGGAGUUGAGAUGAUGAUUUACACUGGGUCAUACCCCUCUUAUCAGUGAUGGAUUUUCAGAGGCGACAUUAUCUACAUUGGGGCAUACCCCGCUCAUCGAUGACGUUUUCUUUCAGGAUGGUGUCUUGCACAGAGGCAUAGUCAGUUCGCCUCUUCACUUGGAUUAUGAUGGAUUAGGAGUUGUUGGAUGACCUUACACUAGGGCAUAGCUAUUUCAGAGAACGCUUUUAUUGGAGAUACAGUCACUCUACUCGAUACUCUGCAUUGGGACACACUUUACUCAUCGAUGGUUGAUUUUUGAGAUGACGAUUUAUUUUGAGGUGUAGCCCUCUCUUUGGCGAUGGACUUUGAUUUAUCUUGGAGCAUAGUCACUUCAGUUGGUUUAUACUGGGGCAUAGCCACCGCAUUCACAUUCGUGGAGCCCGGGGAUUCUGAUUCAUAUGGAUUAUGUUGAGAUGUUUCCGUUUUGGCACCAGGAGUAGAGGUUGAUUGAUUUGUUGACUCGGAUACACUACUUUUCACUGGGGCAUAGCCAGGAUGGAGAGCAUUUUUCAUUGGAGCAUAGCCACCCUAUUUGGAUCCUUUACACUGGGGCAUGUCCAUCUUUUGGAGGGAGAUCAGAUUGGUUCUUGACAUUGGAGCACCUGACGAGUGAUAGGGAGAUCAUUGGAUUAUUUCAUGUUGUUCUCAUUGCAUACUGGGGCAUAGCCACCUUGUUGGAGGUUUUGACAUUGAGGCUUGACUUCCUGUUUGUGAUUGCUGCUUACGAUGGGUUAUGGAGUUAUCGACACCUCGGGUUUAGUCUUCUCGGCAUACUUGGAUGAUCUCGGAUAUCUCCCUACCUUUCAUUUCAUACUCAGACGUUUCACCAUGGAUACUUUCAUACCUUCUAUCAUACCGGAGCCUGACCAUCACAUUAUUUUAUCCUACACAUCUUACCAUGACACAUGACCUCACCCCUUUCUCGAUUAUGAGGAGAUGUAGAUCAGUCCUCGAUCACCCUGGUUGUGCUUUCAUAUAUCUUUUGGACUUUAGGUUCAACAUCUUCCAUGAUGGCAGGGCCUGACAGAUCGUUGACUUAUUAGUGAUGAUGCUUUCAUUUUGAUAGUUGGCAUGUUGAAUGUUGGUUUGCUUGCUCUUUUCAUUUUGAGCACUGGUCAUCAUUAUUGUUGUUAUUCAUCAGUUAGUUUUGUUUUGUCAGCAUGGUGUCAUGACACAUGGUCCUAUUUGGCUUUACCUAUUUGAGGUUGGACAUUUUCAUUACAUGAUGGAUGAGCAUAUUUCAGAGUACAGUAGUUUUGAGGCAUUUUGCAUCUCUGUCUGUUCAUCAUUACAUACUGGGGCAUACCCCAUCUCCGAGAGCAUUGGACCUUCAACAGGUUUCAUUCACUUUUGAUCUAGUUGUCAACCCCGAGAGUUGCAUACUGGGGCAUACCCUCCUUCUCCGAGAUCAUCGGACCUUUCACAGACUUCAUUAUCUUUCGACCUAGUUGUCGAUCCUUAUGAGUUGUCAUACUGGGGCAUAUCCCCUCCCGAGUUUACUUGCAUCAUUAUCUGGGUCAUCCUUUGGUUUUGGGUCACUUGAUCAGGUCAUUCAUCAUCUUGUCAUGUCAGUUUGAGUCGGGGCCGCACUUAUAUCGAUCGGCCAUCUUCCUAUCAGUUCAGUUCGAGUCGGGACCGCACCUAUAUCGAUCGGUCAUUAUCGUGUCAGUUUGAGUCGGGGCCGCACCUAUACGAUCGGUCAUCUCUUUGUCAUGACAGUUCGGUUUCUGGGACCGCACCUAUACGAUCGGUCAUUAUCGUGUCAGUUUGAGUCGGGGCCGCACCUAUACGAUCGGCCAUCUCUUUGUCAUGUCAAUUCAGUUUCCGGGACCGCACCUAUACGAUCGAUCAUUAUCGUGUCAGUUUUAGUCGGGGCCGCACCUAUACGAUCGACCAUCUCUUUGUCAUGACAGUUCGGUUUCUGGGACCGCACCUAUACGAUCGGUCAUUAUCAUGUCAGUUUGAGUCGGGGUCGCACCUAUACGAUCGGCCAUCUCCUUGUCAUGACAGUUUAGUUUCCGGGACCGCACCUAUACGAUCGGUCAUUAUCGUGUCAGUUUGAGUCGGGGCCGCACCUAUACGAUCGACCAUCUCUUUGUCAUGUCAGUUCAGUUUCCGGGACCGCACCUAUAUGAUCGGUCAUUAUCGUGUCUGUUUGAGUCGGGGCCGCACCUAUAUCGAUUGACCAUCUUCCUAUCAUGUCAGUUCAGUUUCUGGGACCGCACCUAUACGAUCGGUCAUUAUCGUGUCAGUUUGAGUCGGGACCGCACCUAUAUGAUCGGUCAUCUCCUUGUCAUGUCAGUUCAGUUUCUGAGACUGCACCUAUAUGAUCGGUCAUCCUCCUGUCAUGUCAGUUCAGUUUCUGGGACCGCACCUAUACGAUCGGUCAUCUCCUUGUCAUGUUAAUUCAAUUUCUGGGACCGCACCUAUACUAUCGGUCAUUAUCAUGUCAGUUUAGUUUCUAGGGCCGCACCUAUAUCAAUCGGCCAUCUUCUUAUCAGUUCAGUUUGAGUCGGGGCCGCACCCAUAUUGAUCGGCCAUUUCCCUAUCAGUUUAUGUUUAGUUUGAGUCGGGACCGCACCCAUAUAGAUCGGUCAUUCAUUCUUCCUAUCAGGUCAGUUCGGCGUCCAGGUCUUUGCUUCAGUAUGACAUUCAGGGUCACAUUUCCAUUUUGGGCGUUCAGAGUCAUUCUCCUCACCUGGUUACUUGAUGCUUAUCGCCUAUUCAUCAUUGCUCUUCUAGGCUUCCCUUUCCACUACACAUGACACAGUCUUUUGAGAUCCGUGAUGCAUAUUUCGAUCAUGUUGUUAGGCACCCUACACUUGGCAUUCUCGUAUAGUUCACAUAGGGCAGUCUCCUUCGGGCACAUUCUUUCUUGUACUCCAGGGUGGUUCGACCGUUACUCAUCUUUGACAUUGAUCUUCGAGUCACUUUUGGAGACGUCUUAGAGGGAGCUUGGAUCCUUAGUGUGGCUUCAGAGGCAUUUUGUGACAUUUUUCUCUCUUAGGAUUAGAGCCUCAUUGUUCAUUCUGUUGGCCUGAGUGAGUUCGGGUUCCACCGGUGUCCUUUUGGGGGUCUCCUUUGUUCUUCGGUAGAGUUCACUUCAUUGCACUCACUAUUCACACUUGCUUUUUACUUCAGUGUUCAUAUCUCUUACACUCGUGAACUCUACCGAAGAGGGGCAUAUUUGUAGACCCCCAUUUUGGGGAGACAUCUCUACAGCCCGAUUAUGACAAGUGUCAUCGUCUGGGAUGACCACGUGUCACUCCAGGACUGGUUGAUAGGGUAUCAAGUUAGUGGUUUUGAUGGCCAAUGGAAGCUUGACACAUGGAGAUUUCUUUCAGCAGAAAAAGCUGAAAACCGUGAAGGUUGGCAGCUGCAGGGUAAUGGGGAAGAGGCUUGGCCGUUAGAGAUUUUUUGGAACUGAAAGAGAGAACGGGACAAGGAGAGAGAAAAUUUUUUUUGGGGGGAGUUUAGAGAGAUUCUAGAGGAGCAGGCUGGUUACUGAAGGACGAGAGAGAGAAAAACAGGGGGAUCAGAGGAGGAAAGGGAGAGAGUUUGAGGGUGAGUUUCUGGCUUAGAGGAGAGGCUACCGGAGGAGAGAACGGGGAGCAGGCCAGCUGCAGAGUAGAGGUUUUUGGUUGCCGUUUUUCAGAGAGCUUGAGAGUUGAGGGAGGGAAGCUAAGAAAAACAGAGCAUGUUUCUGGAGAGAGGGUGCUGAUUUUGCAGUGAGGCAGUUGCAUUGAGGAGAAGAGCAUGGAUCUGAGGAGAGGAAAAACAUACUAAGAAGAGGAAACUUUCAGGUUUGGUUACUCUGCUUUUUCUUUAUAUGUUCAUUCUUCAUCUUUUUAUAUAUAUAUAUAUAUAUUUCGUCCUCCAUGAUUUUCAUCUUGUUUAUUGGAUUGCCUUUGGUUUGGCGAUUAUGGCCUUGAUAUUUGAAAGAUUUUGAGGCACAUUAUUCCCUUUUCUGAUGAACUUUUCUUUCUCACCAUAAUAUAUUUGUUGUCGGGUCCAUGGAUAAAAUAUUGAAAUGGAUUCAACAUGUUGGUUAAAAGACUUGUUUUCAAUUCUUGUUGUUAUCCUCUCGAUCCUCUGUUUUUCGCUGCAUAUAUGCUCCCGGCUAUGAAAUUAUGAAAAACUGGAUUGAAAAUGGGUCUGGCAGUUCAUGGUCCGCAGGGUUGAUGAGACUAUUGCAGUAUAGAAUAGCAGUUUUAUGGGGGAUGAAUGAAAGCUUUGUGGAUGAAAUGAGAUAUAAAUCAAGGGAAACUGAAACAGACCUGGGUCUCUCUCUUCACUCUGUUUUUAUCCUCAGAUUUAGAGAAGUAUGGAGACUUAGCAACUAGCAGAUCUCAAUCUUAAGAAGGCAUCCCAACUGGGAGAAAUGGAGAGUGAAGGUGACCUGGGAAGAAGUCUGGAUCUAGUAUGCAUAUCUAAGCGUACUCCGAAUCGAUGUAGAGGAAAUAUUUCUUAAGGGAAGGCAUCUAAAAAUUGGUGAGAAAUACCGUCUGGGUUUAUUCCAGCUUUGAUGCAGAAAAUGAUCCUAUAAGGAGGUGAAAUGCAGAGGAGGGUUCAACAUGAGAUGCGGUAAUGCAGUCCCGUUUGUAAUCGGGGGGCCCACAUGUAUAAUUUCUAUUUGCAUGGUCACUUUUUCUCACCACUCUUUUAACCACUGUACCCAUGUACUAAUCCAAUGCUUUACAUGCCCGCUGCCCACUCCCUCAUCCCUAUACUUUACCAUACCCAUUCAUUUCCUAUGUGUAUCAACUAUCCAUUUCUCUCAUUCUUUCUCUCUCUAUCCCACCAUGCAACCCAUUGCUUCAUACCCACAUCCACUCAUCCUACACCCGCGGCUGAAGCUUAUACCCAUAUCCCAUACCUUCAUGCAUGAACUCACUUAACUCCACUCUUGAACUCCUUUCUCUCUUCAUUAUUGUGCACCACUCGUCAUCUCUCAUGCACUUCCCCCAAACCCAUUGCUUACUCCCUAUUCACGGACAUGAAAGUCAUCAUGCAUGAACAUUUCUAGGGGAUACCGAGUAGCUCAUCAAGAGGCAGUGCCAAUGCCAGAAUUCAGUCGAUCAAGCAGUCAUCACCCCAUAAUCUGAGAUACCAGUUCCCCACCUGAAUCGUCAAGCUUCCUUGACCCGGAUACACAGUCAACAACCAUCACUGCCGUGGCGUAAACCUGCUGGAACGUGGCCACAUGUUGCUCGAAAACGCCCACCACUAUCAUGCCCGUCUUAGUGCAUGCAUGACCUUCUUGAGAAACAUGGAAAUGUUUGGCGUGCCUAGAGCUUGACUGGCCACAUGUGAUGAGAUUUAAAAAGGGUAUUUUGUGUCGACAUAAUGAACCUUUUGACAAAGCUGUACGUGAAGGGUUAGAAUUAUCAAUCCCAUUCAGUUUCAAAGGCGUCCAAUUCCCUGAAGACUCCUUUUGAAGUUGUGAUUGCUAGAUUCCCCAUUACCUCAUUCUUUCAUUUCUGUUUGGUUCGUCGGAAGUGGAAUCCAUUGCUCAUUGGUGCAGGGAUGUGGUGAUGCUGGCUGAAAUUCAAAUUGUCUACGUCAUUGACUGUCUUGGUUUCGACACGUUUAAUGAACUAGCAAGCUGUGUACAUAUGAUGGCCAUGCGCACAUGCAUGAUGCUGAGGGAAAGAGCCUAAUUGGAGCCAUGUCAAGUCAUGAAAACUGGGUGCUCUGAGAGGCUAUGACGCCUUUGACUGUGGCUGGUUCAUCAGCAUAACUGGAGGAUAGCACUCAUUCCAAUAUACGAGUGUUUCUUGCUCACCUCCAGUUUGAACACUUGUUGACCUUACUGUGUGCACUGGACCCGCAAGCACGACCUGUUUUGCAUGGCCACCUUAUGCAUGUAACCCAAGAGCCACGUGUCAUCUUCCCUUUUCUCCAAUCCUCUUUGAUUUUGAAAAAGAUUUUCCCAAACUUCAUUUUGUAAAUAAUUUCCAAAAUUCCGGUUUUUAAAUGACUUCAAGUCUCCAAAGAUUUCAUCCUUAAAGUUUUUAGGACUCAACAUCCCAUUUUCAAUCAAAUUUAGUUGUCAUUUUCUUUUCGGCAAGCCACUUUUGCAUUUUCUUUGUUUUUAAAAUAAGUAAGAAUUAAAUUCCAUAAUUCCAAGUGAUGGAGUUUAUGGAAUUGAUUCAUGCAAAAUAAAUGAGCUUUGGUGGGGGCCCUACAUGUGAGACUUCAUGAUUGAUUAACUGAUUGAUUGAUUUAAUUGUCAUGAAUGAUGGAUUUUAUUAAGCUCUGUGAUAUAUCUCGUGAUUGUUAUUAUGCAGUAACCUCCUCUCUUGAUAGCGCAUGGUGGCUCGUUGGUCAGGUACACACCUAUUCUCACUCUGGUCACUUUAUAUACAUGUAUUGAUUCCCAUAUGUGCAUGAUCAAUUCGGGUAUUCAUUGAUUUCUUUAUUAGAUGCCACGAUUGCUUCAUUUUAUUAGUAGAGACCCGUCUUUAGGGACUUAGAGGGGUGCUACGGUCUUUACCGUACCUUCCCGAUAAGUAACCUGACCCCCGAACCCAAUCCGGUUUUUCGUAGAUCACCUUUUCCAAAUAAGGAGUCACACUUAGGGUUUUUCUUUCUUAUUUUGUUUACCCUUUUAAAAAUAAUACAAAAAUAAGUGGCGACUCCAAGUCAUUUUCAAACAAUAAAUAAAAAUAAAAAUUUCAAAUAAAAUCGAGCUCGCCAUCGAGUGGAAAACGCAUUGAGCCGAAAAUGCGGGGUCCACACUAUGACAAGACAAAAUCUCAAUGCAAUCUUAAUUACACGUUUUUUCUUUCUUAAAUCAUUUGAACUUGGAAAUUCAACUUAUGGUUUUAUUUCCUAUGUCUUGAAUUUCAAGAUAUGAGACUUGUUUCAUUAGAAAAGAAAGGAGCUAAAACAUUUGAAAACCUAUGCCAUCAAUGGUUGUUGUUGUUUUAGUUGUGAAGGAAGUUUUCAUAUAUGGAGAGAGACCAAAAGAGGAUUCUCGAUAAGCUUGACACUUCUACCAUUCUCUUCCCCUGGCUACUAAAGUGAAACACCAAUGGGUUUUACUUGAUUUCUAGUUCCAUGAAUUUAUUGAACAUUUGUAAAAUGAAGCAAGACAAAAAUGCUCUCUUCCAUAGAAUUUGAAGUUAUUUGGAGAACAAAAAUUGAGUUGGGGCAUGCUAAUUAAUACUAUUUUAAUCACCUUCACCCAUAAUAUUAAUAUUUAAAUAUAAUUUAGAUAGAUAACCUUUUGGGGUUUUUCUCCCACGCUUCCUAAAAUAUGCAACACUUGAUAUUCACUCUCUCUAUCUUCUUUUUUUCCAUUGCUGCCAUGGACUAUGGAACACCCUUUUUUGAUUGCUCCAACACCCUACCUUUUUCCAACCAUGGAGAACUUUUAACUUNNNNNNNNNNNNNNNNNNNNNNNNNNNNNNNNNNNNNNNNNNNNNNNNNNNNNNNNNNNNNNNNNNNNNNNNNNNNNNNNNNNNNNNNNNNNNNNNNNNNUUUUUUUUUCAAGUAAACAAAAUUAAAACCCUUUUUUUCGAUUUUUUAUCUAAUUACUUAUGGUUUUAAAUACAUAUAUUUUAAAGAUGUAUGUUGAAACUAACUUUCAACUUAAUUGAAUGGAAACAUAAAAAUGAGAGGAAAAAAGAAUAAAAUAUAAAUUUGAAAUCUUUACUAUCAAACUUUUUCAAACAAAGAAUAUAUAGACAAAAGAAAUACAAGUUUUAAAAUAUUUUAUUAUAUUUUUUUAAAAAAAAUUUCAUUAAAAAAAACAAAACAUGUGUUUCUAUUUUCAAUUAUUUUAUUGGUUUUAAGAUUAAUAUGGUAUAAAUUAGUCGCAACAAUUAUUUAUGAAAUAUUUGGUCAUUAUUUGUAUUAUAUAUAAAAGGAUAAGGUGUAUGUUUUUUUAACUUUUGUCUUCUAAGAUAGCAAUUUUGAGGCUUGGGACAUACUAUCGAUUAUUCAUGAGGGCACUUGGUUGUGAAGUUGUCUAAGAUUCAAAUGCUCAGAGCUAUAUUUGAGAGUUUAAGGAUAUGAGAUGCUAAAACGUUUGCUGGAUUCAUUUUUAAAUUAAGUAACAUUUUCAACUCGAGGUUUAACCUUGGGGAAAAGAUUCUCUAUUCUAAGGUAGUUAUGAAAAUCCUUAAAUCUCUUCCUAAAAGGUUCAAACACAAGGUAAUUGUUAUAGAAGAAAACAAGAACAUUGACUCCAUGAGAGUUGAUGAAACUUAUAGAUUUUUACCAACUUAUGAGAUGUCUCUACUAUUUUCAAAAGUCUUAGGGUGCAACCUUCAAAGCUUUCAAUAACAAAGGGAAUGAGUUUGAACAUGUUUUUUUUUUUCUUCUUUUUUUUUUCUUCUAUAUUUAUGCUUUUGAUAUCAUACAUAUCUAGAUUUGCACAUGCUUAUUAAAAGACAUACAUGACUUUUUACUUACAUUGAAUUGACCAAUUUCUCUUUUCUUGGGGGAAUGUAUGAAGGAGAACACGGUGCCUUUAUCCUUAGGAGAAUAUUGAAUAAUAGUGAACAUGACUUUAAUAGUUGAGUAAUAGAUUACAAUACUUAGAGGAUUUAAGAACAUAGGUAGAAUAACAGUCAAGGAGUAAUUUUAAAAGGGAAAUGAGAAAUCUCCCAUAGCAGCCACAAGGGCUUGGACAAAUUUUGGUGUAAAGGUAAGAUUGUUUUAGGUGUGGGAAAUAAUGGAGAGAGUGUCUUGUGAAGGAUUUCUCCCAAACCAAAACCAGAGGACUUUUGGACAACAAAUUCGUCCUUAGUUUUUGCAAAACCACAAUGUCAUUUAACCUUUCCAUCACAAACCAAAGAAACUGACCAUUUAAUUUCCAAUAGAAAUCAGGAGUUCAUGGAAUUUAGUCAUGAUCCUAAUAGGAGUUAAUGUAAUUAAGGAGGUAUUAUUCAAGGACAUGUGUAUGUUAUAGAUAAAGUGAAGGAAGAUAACGCUCUUGCCUUUUUGGAAGAUGCUAUCCUAGCUUAUAAUUCUUGAGCAAAAGUUCCAUUUGAUUCUAGAACAACAACUCUUUCUUUUUUGCCUUCUUCAUGAAUGCACUAGAAUUAGUACUUAAGGGACAUAGAUCCUCUUUAUCUAUUAGUCCUCCUAUGGGACAAAACUUAGAGAGAAAAAAAAUAUGUAUAGUAUGUAAUAUGAUAAUUUUAAAUCAUGAAUUAAAAGGAGAUUUAGUUGUUUUAGAGAUGUUAGAAUAUGAUGUAAUUUUAGGCAUAAAUUUUUAUCCUCCCCACCAUGCUAUUAUUGACUAUUUUAAAAGAAAGGUAAAGAUUCAUAUCUUAGGAAGGGAUGUAGUUUAUUUCUUUGAUGAUAAGGGUGCACCAUUUCCUUGUCAUCCAUUAAAUUAGUAUUAUCAAUUAAGAUUAAAGAAAGAUGGUAAAUACUUUUUGACAAGUGUUUAAGUAGAGAUUAAAGGAAAAAAAGGAUUUGCAGUCCUUUCAUGUUAUUAAUUAAUUUAGUGAUGUUUUUUUUGUUUGAAGAAUUACUUGGAUUGUCUCCUAAGAGAGAAUGUAACUUUACCAUUGAAGUUUGUCCAAGUAUAUUUCCUACAUCAAUUACACCCUAGUUAAGUUACGAGAAUUGAAGAUUCAACUUCGAAAACUUCAAGAUAAGGAAUUCAUUAGAUGAAGUAAUUCUCCAUGGGGUGUUCCUAUACUAUUUUUUAAGAAGAAAGAUGGUUCUUUAAGUUGUGAAUUGAUUAUAAGAAAUUGAAUGAAGUCACCAUGAUGAAUAAAUACCUUUUGCCAAAGAUUGAUGAUUUGUUUAAUUAAUUAAAGGAUACUAGAUAUUUCUCCAAAACAAGGAAGAGAACAAUCACACUCCUCCCUGACCAUCACCAUCUUCUCCUUUGCCCUCCUUGAUCUCUUCUACCUUAUCCACUUCAUCCUCCAAUACAAACCUUUUGAUGACUCAAUUGAUUCCCUUACUUGAAAUCAAAGCGAGCUUGCUCUGUAAAGGAUGCAGUCAAUGUUACAGAGAUAGUAAAAGUCUUAAUACAUAUUGCAACAACAUCAACAAUUGAAGAUUUUAUAGUCAAAGCUUAGUUAUCUGUCUCUUGAGGCUUNNNNNNNNNNNNNNNNNNNNNNNNNNNNNNNNNNNNNNNNNNNNNNNNNNNNNNNNNNNNNNNNNNNNNNNNNNNNNNNNNNNNNNNNNNNNNNNNNNNNCACCUACUUGAAAGACUCACCUUCGCACAAAGAGCACCCUUGCAUUAAUUAUAAAAUGGAUAUGACCCCCUCAUUAGUCAAAUAAUCAUUAAACCUUAAAAGUUGUUGAAAAAACUAUUCAUUGUCCUAACAGUUAUGUCAUAAUCAUCUCAUAAUGAUUAAAGCCUUAAAGAUGAACAUAAUAGAAAUCAUUUAAAAUAAUACCUAACGAACAUCUCAUUUAUAGUCUUCCCAUAAUCAAUCUAUCAAAAGGUAACUACAAGAAGAAGACCAUAUUUUAGAAAAAGUACACACAGUGAACUCUAUCUAGCUCAUAUCUCUUAUUCCUACUUUAAUCCAUGACAAACUUGAUCAUCUCAAAAGGGUCGACCUAAGCAACCCAACCUUUUCUCAUCAUUCUCGCUCUCUCUCUCUUUCUCCCUAAUCUAUUGGAAAACUGUGAUGCCUAGUUCAACCAUAGUCGAAGGAGUGUGUAACAAAUUCCAAAUCUAAUGAGACUUAAUGCAUAGGAUUUGACAAUUUUUAAAAAUAAUUUAUAAUUUAAAACCAAUCUAAUUAAUACUAAAAAGUCAUGAAACUAAAAAAAUUGAUCCAAUUAAUACUAGAAAGUCUAACCAAAAUUGAUUCUAAAUGACUUUGUUUGUUUUCUCCUUUACAUCUAACUAUAAACCAAAAUUUAUAAGGUUUUUCAUUAAGCAAAUAUAAUCAAAAUCCAAUAAGACUCGAUGUCUUAGAUCUAUUAACAAGUGUUAAAGAAAAUUAGAACUCAAACACCAAAAAUUACUAUCAAAGAUUCUUGAACCAGAUUUGGUACUUAAAUGACUGUUAUUUCUCUUUUACACAUAAUGAAAUUUAUGUGAAUUUUCUAUGUAGAAAAAUGUACUUCAAAUUAAGCAAAACUUAAUACAUCAAAUUUAUUAAAAAGUUUAGUAGUUUUUUAAUAAAGAAAUAAAAAUUAAAUACUAAACUAAUUAAUAUUGGAAUUUGUGGACAAACUCUUUGACAUAGAACUAUAAUUCUCAAAAUUUUCUAACUGGACAAGUGAAUUCUCUUCCAAAUUAAACAAGACAUAAUAUAUUAAAAUUGUUAACAAGUUUAUUAAUUUUUUAAAAUAAAAUAAUAACGUAAUUAUUAUUAGAAAUUCAUAGCAUAAAACUAGUCCAAAAAAACUUUGUUGUUUCUCCUCCACAUAUAAUUAUAAUUUUAUGAAUUUUCUGGUUAGGCAAAGAAACUCUAAAUUAAGCAAAACUCAACAUAUUAGAUUUGUAGAUGAGUCUAGUAAUUUUUUAAAAUAAUUUAAAAUUCAAAAAUAGAAUCAAUAAAAAAAAAAAAAAAGAAGAAGAUAAAAAUUAGUCUAGAAUAAGCAAUAAUAUUAUAUUGUUUCUCAUAUGCGCAUAACUAUACCUUCUCAAAUUUUUUUAUUAGGUAAACAUAUGUUAAAUUAAUUGAGCCCAAAUCAAAUGAGAAUUAAUGCUUUAAAUUCUCUAAUUAAUUUACUAAUUUUUAAGAAUAAUUGAGAAUUUGAAAAACUAACUCAAUUAUUAGCAUAGCACUUUGACAAUGGCUAAAUAUUAAAUGCGCACAGGUAAUGCAAAAACUUAACAUAUUAACCAUUAUUAUUUCUAAAGUAUUAUUAUUCAAUUUUAACAGAAAAAAAAAAAAGAAUUAUACCUUUAAGAAGAUAUUAAUAUCCAUAUUUUAUUAUAUCUAUUUAAAAUUAUAUCAUUUCUAAUUAAAAAAAUUUACUUAUAAUUUUAUUAUAAUAUUAGUAUUGGUAUUUUACAAAAAAUUAUUUAUUUUUCAUUAUAUAAUUAUUAUUUUCUAUUUUUAUUAAGACUUGAAUUGAAUUGAAUUGAUAUUAAUAAAAAAUGAGUGUACAUUUUUUUUAUUUUUUUUGUACAAAAUGAAAAUAGAAAAACUAUUUUUAAAAGCAACUAAAAUUUACUUAUCUAAAAGUGUUUUUGUUUUUUUGCUUUUUGACAAAUAUUUUUAAAAACAACUUGCCAAGUAUUAUUAUUUUUAAGACACACCUAAAAAACUUAUUUUUUCUUUUUAACUUGAAAAUAAUUUUAGAAACAAGGUUAAACAUACAUGGGCAAACAGGCCAUUAGACUUUCUAGAUUGCCAACUUGAGGACUUAGAAGAGGCUUUCUUUACUUUUUCAAAGCACCGUACCAUCAAUUAUUCUUUGUUUCCUCAUAUUAGUGAAACGUUUUGGUAUUGGAAAAAGAAAUUUGUAGCUUAACUCCUUCAGAAGUUUACAUAUGCCAACAAAAGAAAAACUUAUCCAAUCCCUCGAUAGUUUUUUCCGAAGCUUUCUCCAUUCAUAAGCAUGGAAUGAGGUGCUUUUCUCCCUUCUUGAGAGCUUCUUAGCAAUCCAUCUGCUACCUUUCCACUACAUCCUUUUCCUUUGUGUGUAGGCCUUCCUACAAUAUUGUACUCCUUAGGCAAAAUUGUUUUAGUUUCUCAAUUACUUGCUCUGACUUCUCCAAUCCCUACGAAUAAAAAAAAGUAAUUUUUGUUCGUUUAAUGAUUUUUUUUUUUGUCUAGUACUAAAUCAAUCCAUCAAAUAAAUGGGUUUAGAUUGUAUUAUUUGGGUUAUAAAGACGUGAUGCAUUAUUUUUUUUAAAACAUUUUAUGAUAUUUUUAGCUAGUAAUAAAUUUCAANNNNNNNNNNNNNNNNNNNNNNNNNNNNNNNNNNNNNNNNNNNNNNNNNNNNNNNNNNNNNNNNNNNNNNNNNNNNNNNNNNNNNNNNNNNNNNNNNNNNUUUUGUUCGUUUAAUGAUUUUUUUUUUGUCUAGUACUAAAUCAAUCCAUCAAAUAAAUGGGUUAAGAUUGUAUUAUUUGGUUAUAAAAGAAGGUGAAUGCAUUAUUUUUUUUAAAAACAAUUUUAUGAAUAUUUUAGCUAAGUAAUAAAUUUCAAAUCAAACAAUACUUAAUGUAUUUGAUUUAUUAAUGAGUUGAGUCACUUUUAAAAAUAAUUUGAAAACAAAAUACUGAAGUAAUUAGUAUCAUAAAUUUAAGAUCAAACAUGUUCUACAUAGAACUAUAAUUUUCAAAAUUUUCUAACUAGACAAGUAGAUUCCGAAUCAAGCAGGACACAAUGUGUUAGAUUUGUUAAAAAGUAUAUUAAUUUUCAAAAAAUAAUUUUAAACUCAAAAAACUGUAAGGAAAUUAUAGAACUAUCUUUAUUUUACUCUAAGUAUUGCUAUUCAAGUCUGUGCCAACACAGGAGUUCGGAUGUUGAUCAAUGAUCUAUAAUUUAUAUGUAGCUCAAAAUAAUUUAUAAUGCAUGAUUUGAUCAAUGAUCUAGCUCAAGAUGUUGCUACAGAAAUAUGCUUCAAUCUAGAGAAUAUACAUAAAACUUCUGAAAUGACUCGUCAUUUGUCAUUCAUAUGUAGCGAGUAUGAUGUAUUCAAAAAAUUUGAAGUCCUUAAUAAAUCGGAGCAAUUACGAACAUUUGUUGCAUUACCCGUCCCUGUAAAUAAUAAGAUGAAAUGUUACUUAAGUACUGAGGUGCUUCAUGGCUUGUUGCCAAAGUUGAUACAAUUAAGGGUGCUCUCUUUGAGUGGUUAUGAAAUAAAUGAGUUGCCAAAUUCGAUUGGUGAUUUGAAACAUUUACGGUAUCUUAAUUUGUCUCAUACUAGACUCAAAUGGUUACCUGAAGCAGUGAGUAGUCUCUACAAUUUACAAUCAUUGAUAUUAUGCAAUUGUAUGGAACUCAUUAAGUUGUCUAUUUGCAUUAUGAAUUUAACCAAUCUUCGACAUCUUGAUAUUAGUGGUUCAACUAUGUUGGAAGAGAUGCCUCCACAAGUUGGAAGCUUGGUAAAUUUGCAAACAUUGUCUAAGUUUUUUCUAAGCAAAGAUAAUGGGUCACGAAUAAAAGAAUUGAAGAACUUGUUGAAUCUCCGAGGAGAGCUUGCCAUUUUAGGGUUGGAAAAUGUUUCGGAUCCAAGAGAUGCAAUGUAUGUCAAUUUGAAGGAGAUACCAAAUAUUGAAGACUUAAUUAUGGUAUGGAGUGAAGAUUCUGGUAAUUCAAGGAAUCAAAGUACUGAGAUAGAGGUCCUUAAGUGGUUGCAACCUCAUCAAAGUUUGAAAAAACUGGAAAUUGCAUUUUAUGGUGGCUCAAAAUUCCCGCAUUGGAUAGGAGAUCCAUCCUUCUCCAAAAUGGUUUGUUUGGAACUUACAAAUUGUAAAAAUUGCACAUCAUUGCCAGCACUUGGGGGUUUACCUUUCCUCAAAGAGUUGGUGAUUAAAGGAAUGAAUCAAGUUAAAAGCAUAGGUGAUGGGUUCUAUGGGGAUACCGCAAACCCUUUUCAGUCUUUGGAAUCUCUAAGAUUUGAGAAUAUGGCAGAAUGGAACAAUUGGUUAAUUCCCAAAUUGGGACAUGAGGAAACUGAAGCAUUGUUUCCUUGCCUCCAUGAGCUUAUGAUAAUAAAAUGUCCAAAACUGAUCAACUUACCUCAUGAGUUACCGUCCCUUGUGGUUUUUUUUGUUAAAGAAUGCCAAGAACUGGAAAUGUCAAUUCCACGACUUCCACUUCUUACUGAAUUAAUAGUAGUUGGGUCGUUAAAAAGUUGGGAUGGUGAUGUCCCCUCACUUACCCAAUUAUACAUUUGGGGAAUUUCGAGGCUGAGUUGUUUAUGGGAAAGGCUUGCACAACGCUUAAUGGUCCUUGAAGAUCUGGGAAUAAAUGAAUGUGAUGAGUUGGCAUGUUUGAGGAAGCCUGGAUUUGGACUGGAAAACCUUGGUGGUCUGCGACGUUUAUGGAAUAAUCAGGGGCUGCCGUGGUCGACAAUAAGUUGUGGAGUUUUGUGCUCAAAACCUCGACUCUCAUGAAUGUGCCCUUAGCUUUUUCCUUAUUUUUCCAAAGGAAGGUCCCUGCCCUCUUCCAAAACAGAGGUACUUAUUAAUGCAUUGAAUUGUAAGUUUUGAUAGAACACAAUUUUCACCAUUUUCGACUAAAAAUAUCGCUUUCAUUUUCUGAUAAUGAUGGAAUUUGUGCUGCACAUUGAUGUAGAUGAAAGCAAAAUUUCUGGCCAUUGGUGCAGCUUAUUUGCAAGGGGAAAUAUCCUAAACAUGAAAGAGUUGUACUAAAUGCACCAUUCUUUUUUCAUUUCAGGGUUUACACUUUCAAUUCCAGUCUCCACUGUCAAUUUUUUUUGGUAAUCAGGUCCAAAAGUAGUUUUAAGGCCCUAUUAAAUUUGGCACCAACUUCAUUUCCUACCAAGGGAUGGUCAGUUUUAGGGCCCAACUUCAUUUCCUACAAUAAGCUAAACAGUUUUGUGCUCAAAAACUCACCUCUCUUGAUUGUGUUCUUAGCUUGUUCCUUAUUUUCUUAAGAAAGGCCUUCCUACCAUAGUUUAAUAACUGGAUAUUUGGCACUUUCAACUCAAAAUAUUGCUUUCAAUUUCCAAUAAUGAUGUCUUGUACAUAUAGGAUGGCAGGAAAAAGGAUUGAUGUAGAUAAAAGGGUAAUUUCCUGCCAUUGAUGCACCUUAUUCAUAUCUGCAAGGGGAAAUGCCCUACACAUGAAAGGAGCUGUAAUAAAUGCACCAUUCUUUUUUAAUCUUGGGGUUUACAUGUGAUUCCAGUUUCAUCUGUACAAUUUUUUGCUAAUCAGGUCCAAAAGAAAUUUUAAGGCCCUAUCAAAUGUGGCACCAACUUCACUUCCUACCAAGGGAUGGGCAGCUUGGCAAACUUGCAGAACCUAACCCACAACAAGAGGCCUUAUAUCUGGUGCUUCAUUUUGCUUAAAGCCAGUAUUCUAUUUCAAUUACCAUUAAUUAAUAGAAGGUAUUUCCGAUUUUGUUUUAGUUCUAUUUCAUUCCAAUCUAAAUUUGCAUCUUAGUAUCUUAAUAAAGCCCUUCUAUCUGAUUUUGUUUUGUACUUUAUUCACACAGGAAUUCUCCCUUACUAAACACCAAGGUUUUCUGGGAUUCUGCCAUCAGCUUGGAAAUAUGUAUUGCAAAACGGGGGAGAGGUAUAACUUCUUUGUUGAUGAGAUUUUUUUUCCCUUUUUUCUGCUUUUCCACUUAAUUUUUUUUUACUAAUUACAUGACAUUGUAAAUGCUGUUGGCCUAGACCCUUACUACUGGCAACUGGUAUGUCAAGCAGUUCAGGAUGCAGAGAAAGGGCAUAUAUCCAGGUUGUUCUCUUUCUUAUUCUCUCUCUUCUCACUUGUAUUGAUUUAAAAUGUGCUCUUUCAAAUUAAGGUCUUUGUAAGUAAGUUGUUGAAGGUAAAAUCCCCUAAUUGGGGCACAUGAUGAUUGUAACCUAGCCAGGUAAGGUGAUAUUUUAUUACUGUCUUUCUAGCUUUUACAUUUGCAUAUUUCUAUAUGGUUGCUUAGGCUUCUGCACCAGAAUUCUUUUGACUUAGUGCUACAUAAUUUUUAUUUUUUUUAUCAUACUGUUUGCUACAAUGGGCAUGCUCUGCCCAUGUGAUACCAGAAGGUGAAGGUUGUGGAUUAGUAAAAGACUUGACCCUGAUGAUUCAUGUUACAAACUGAUGAAGAAGAGAGUCCACUAAUAUCUCUAGUUAGUCUUUGUAAAAUAAUUACUUAGGCCCUCUUGCAUAAUCAGUUUGUAUUUGGAGUCUCAUUUGUAUUUGGAGGCUCACUUCAUGUAGCAUUAAUCUGCCCAAUCUAAUAGGGAUAAAAGGCCCUCUUUCAUAAUCAGUUUAGGGUUGAAUAGAGGGCAAUUAUUGGUUCAAUCAACAUAGGGAAAUGAGAUUGAACCUCAUGCCCUCCACUUCCCACCUUUUCUUUUAUUUUUUAUUUUUUUCUCUUUAUAUUGAACCUCAUGACCCUCUAGAAAUGCCUCUGAGAAUCAUGUCAAGAAAUUGAUGAAUUGUAAAGAAUAUUUGUGAUGGUAGGAAUGUUAAGAUUGUAAAAUUAAAAAAAUAAUCUGAUGAAUUUACUGAAGACGGAUUUGAUAAGGGGUGAAAUAAUUUCUGUAAGGGAAGGAAAUUGCCUAACCUUGAGAGGGAAGAGUGGAUCCUUUCCAUGCUAUGAGGAGUUUGAAAAGAGGGAAGAGUUAAAGAAACUGAAAUGACAACCCUNNNNNNNNNNNNNNNNNNNNNNNNNNNNNNNNNNNNNNNNNNNNNNNNNNNNNNNNNNNNNNNNNNNNNNNNNNNNNNNNNNNNNNNNNNNNNNNNNNNNAAUAUCUCUAGUUAGUCUUUGUAAAAUAAUUACUUAGGCCCUCUUCCAUAAUCAGUUUGUAUUUGGAGUCUCAUUUGUAUUUGGAGGCUCACUUCAUGUAGCAUUAAUCUGCCCAAUCUAAUAGGGAUAAAAGGCCCUCUUUCAUAAUCAGUUUAGGGUUGAAGAGAGGGCAAUUAUUGGUUCAAUCAACAUAGGGAAAUGAGAUUGAACCUCAUGCCCUCCACUUCCCACCUUUUCUUUUAUUUUUUAUUUUUUUUCUCUUUAUAUUGAACCUCAUGACCCUCUAGAAAUGCCUCUCAGAAUCAUGGCAAGAAAUUGGUGAAUUGUAAAGAAUAUUUGUGAUGGUAGGAAUGUUAAGAUUGUAGAAUUAAAAAAAUAAUCUGAUGAAUUUACUGAAGACGGAUUUGAUAAGGGGUGAAAUAAUUUCUGUAAGGGAAGGAAAUUGCCUAACCUUGAGAGGGAAGAGUGGAUCCUUUCCAUGCUAUGAGGAGUUUGAAAAGAGGGAAGAGUUAAAGAAACUGAAAUGACAACCCUUGGAUCCUCUUAAUCUGUAGAAUUUAAGGAGUAUGCAAGGCAAAAGUUAUUGAAUAGCAGGAUGUGUAUUCUUUUGGACUUGAUAACAACGAGAAGAAUUUUAGUGGAGGUAGAAUCAAUUAGGCCUGCCCAUGUGGCAUCUCCAGCAUUGCUUUGACUCUAAAGCUUUUUCAGAUUCUUCCUACUUCUUUUCCAUUCUUUGUCAUGUGUUUGGCUGCACCUGCAUGUUCUUUGUCGAUAUACAUGACAAAUAGUUAUGUUAUUAGUGCUUCAAUUUAUAUAUAUACAUAUAUAAUCAGAAUUUAUUCCUUGAAUAUUAAUCUAUAAAGAAUCCAUAUACCCUUGAUUUUCACUUCUCUUUGCAUUCCGUACUUAUGCAAUCUGUAAUUAUUGUUGCAUUAGGGUUAUUCUUCAGGUGUUGAAGAUGUGGAUGAGGUUCAUACACCAGAUUCUGACUAUAUUAAAUAAGCUAAAUCUUGGCAAGCAUAGGGGGCCACAAGUACAUAGUUUUUCUUUCCAUUAAGAUGGAAUACACAAACACAUAUUUAUGUGUUGGUGUCUGAUUUUAUAAUUUUCCACUCCUUAUGUUAUAUAAUUUAUUUCCAGAUUAGCAUUUCACAAAUGCAUUGAUGAAGUUACAGAGAGCUGGUAUAAUAGGGGAGUUUCUAAGUAUUUUUGUAAAUGAGUUGGUAAAUUCUUGUCUCCUAAUUGUACUUUGUAUUAGUUUACUUUCUGUUUCUUAUCUUCUUUUUUGCUUCACAUUUGGUCAAUGGAGAAUAUCCUAUUGCAGUCCUUUUCCACAUAAAAGAAUUGCGAUGGUGUAAGGCUGAAUGAGUCCUAAGCUUCAACCCUUAUUGCAAGAAGAAUAGAGAAAGGACAUAUUUAUCCAUUGAAAGAUUCAUAUUUUCUCUUAAUAGGGGAAUGAGCAGAGAUCAUGUUUCCCUCCUUAUAUGACAAAUUUUGCUUCUACGCCUUUGCUAAAUUUGAAAAAAAAAUUAUUUUUAUUUUUUUAUAAUAAUUAUAAACUAAUUUCCACAUUAUAUAGUGUGUAGCACGGCUUAAAAGGUUCCAUUCUUGUGAAGUGAAAGAAAUACAAUCACCUUUUGCACUAUUCUUCGUUGAUUUUGGAGUAAUGCAUUAUAUAAAGUUUCAUCAAUGUUUCCAUGAUAUUUUAUGGUAAAUCACAUCCUUAAGACACAAAAAAGUAUGAUUUUAUUAUUAUUACUAUUAUUAUUAUUAUUAUUAUUAUUAUUUAAUUUGUUCUAUUUUUGAUAUGAUAUGAGUUUUUUUCUACUCAUUUUCCCCCUUUUUAUUUGGUAUGGGCAGGUGGUCUUAAUAGGGGUUCAAAGAUGUCUCUUAUUGGCUUUCUAGAAGGUGAGCUACCCACAUUGACCCACCACCAACACUUGCAAGAGUUGUAAUGGGGAGAUGUCAUAUUCUAAAAGAGAGGUGCCUCAAAGACAAAGGAAAAUAUUAGCCUAAGAUUGCUCACAUCCCCUAUAUGGAAAUAGAUGACAUUAUAAAACUACAAGAAGUUCAACCAGGUACUCCCAAUAUAUGGAAAUAGUUGUGCCCUUGAGUACCUGAAAAUUAAAGAUUGUCCAUCUCUUAUUGGCUUUCCGAAAGGGGAGCUACCCGCCACCCUUAAGAAGCUGAUAAUUAUAAAUUGUGAGAAGCUAGAGUCUCUACCUGAGGGAAUUGACAACAACACUUGUCAUCUUGAAUAUCUACAUGUAUGGGGAUGUCCAUCUCUCAAGUCCAUUCCAAGAGGUUACUUUCCCUCAACACUUGAGACCCUUUCCAUUUGGGACUGCCAGCAAUUGGAGUCGAUUCCAGGGAAUAUGCAGCAAAAUCUCACAUCUCUUCAAGUUUUGCAAAUAUGUAAUUGUCGAGAUGUGUUGUCCUCUCCAGAAGCGUUUUUGAACCCUAACCUUGAAGAACUUUGUAUUUCAGAUUGUGAGAAUAUGAGGUGGCCUCUAUCUGGGUGGGGCCUCCACACACUCACCUCUCUUGAUAAGCUCAUGAUUCAAGGCCCAUUCCCAGAUCUGCUUUCUUUUCCCAGCUCUCACCUUCUUCUUCCUACAUCUAUCACAUGUCUCCGGUUGGUAAAUCUCUACAACUUGAAAUCCAUAGCCUCCAUAAGUCUCCGAAGCCUCAUCUCUCUUAAAAUCCUUGAACUCUAGAAUUGCCCUAAGCUCUGGUCCUUUGUGCCCAAGGGUGAGCAACACUUGCAAUACUUGAAAUCUGGGAGUGUCCUAUUCUAGAAAAGAGGUGUCUCAAGGACAAACGGAAAGAUUGGCCCAAGAUUGGCCACAUCCCCUACGUUCAAAUAAAUGACAUUGUACAACAAUAACAGCUUCAAUAAGGUACUCCUAAUUCUCUGUAAUCUUCCAUCAAAGGUUCUACUUGCUAAUUACUACCCUCUCUAUAAUAUUUGAGUCGCCCUUUUGUUAUGUAAUCAGGGGUUCUCCUAAUUUUUCAGAAGUUAGGCCUUCCUACCACAAUUUAAUAUUGAUAUUUGGCAUUGCCCUCUUCCAAAACAAAGGUGCGUAUUAAUGCAUUGAAUUGUAAGUUCUGAUGGAACAUAAUUUUCACCAUUUUCAACCCUAACAUAUUGCUUUCAUUUUCUAAUAAUGAUGGAAUUUAUGUUGCACAGAAUUUCCUGCCAUUCAUAUCUGCAAGGGUAAAUACUAAAUAUCCUACACAUGAAAGAAGAUGUACUAAAUGCCCCAUUCUUUUCUAGUUUCUGGAUUUACAUGUGAUUCAAGUUUUAAGGCCCUAUCAAAUUUGGGCAACAACUUCACUUCCCACCAAGGGAUGGGCAAAAGGCCUUAUGUUUGGUGGUUCUUUUUGUUUAAAGCUCAGUAUAUUGAUUCAAUCACCAUUAAUUGUUAAAAGGUAUUUAAGAUUUUGUUUUAGUUCUGUUUCAUUCCAGUCUAAAUUUGAAUCUUAUUAUGUUAAUGAAGCCCUUUUAUUUAAUUUUUUUUUCUGUACUUUAAUCACACAGGAAUGCUCCUUUAUUUAACACCUUGGUUUUUUGGGAUUCUGCCAUCUUUUUGCAAAUAUGUAUUGCAAAAACGGGAGAGGUAUAACUUUCUCGAACUUCUAAACUGACCAUUGUAUUUCAUCAGAUUGUUUUUAACUUUCUCAUAUUUUUCCCCUCAAAUUUACAUCUUUUUGACUAAUUACAUGAUAUUGUAGUUACUGUUGACCUAGAGAGGACCUUUCUACUAGCAUCUGGUAUGUCAAGCUGUUCAGGAUGCACAGAAAGGACAUAUAUCCCAGGUUGUUCUUUUUGUCAUUAUGUCUCUCCUCACUUGUAUUAAUUUCAAAUGUGCUCAUUCAAAUUUAUAUUAUCAUAAUAUAAAUUGAAGAUAAAAUCCCUUAAUGAGAGGUGGUAGUUAGGUCUUUGUAAGUAAGUUGUUGAAGGUAAACCUUGGUGAUGAGCUGGCAUGUUUGAGGAAGCCUGGAUUUGGGUUGGAAAACCUUGGUGGUUUAUGGAUGGAUGGGUGUGAUGGGAUUGUAUCCUUGGACGAGCAAAGGCUGCCUUGCAAUCUUCAAUAUUUGGAAGUGAAAGGAUGUUUCAACUUAGAGAAGCUGCCAAAUGCACUAUGCACCCUCACAUCUCUUAUAGAUUUGGUAAUUCAUAAUUGCCAGAACUUGUGCCAUUCCUAGAGACAAAUAUGUUGCCCAUGCUAAGACUUCUUUUGGUGAAAAAUUGUGAGCUUUUGGAGACGUUGGCCGAUGGAAUGGUGAGCACCAGAUGUGCCUUUGAGUGCUUAGAAAUUGUAGAUUGUCCAUCUCUUAUUAGAUUACCAAAAGGUAAGCUAUCGACCACCCUUAAGAAGCUACUCAUUAUAGAUUGCCAAAAACUAGAGUCUCUACCUGAGGGAAUUAUGCACCACACUUCAAUUGACAGCAACAACACUUGUCGUCUUGAACAACUACAUGUAUUGGGAUGUUUGUCUCUCAAGUGCAUUCCAAGAGGCAACUUUCCUUCCUUUCUUGAGAUGCUUUUCAUUUGGAAUUGCAAGAAAUUAGAGCCAAUUCCAGGCAAUAUGCUGCAAAAUCUCACAGCUCUUGGUAUGUUGGGUCUAUGUAAUUGUCCAGAUGUGAGGUUGUCUCCAAAAGAAUUUUGGACCACCAACCUUAAAUAACUUGCGAUUUCAGAUUGUGAGAAUAUGAAGAAGCCUCUAUCCUUUGUGCCAAAGGAAGGGCUGCCACCAUCACUUGCAAGACUUGUAAUCAUGGGUGUCCUAUUCUAGAACAAAUGAAAAGAUUGGCCCAAUAUUGCCUACACCCCCUAGAUGGAAAUAGAUGGCAUUGUCUAACAAUAACAAUUUCAAUCAGGUACCCACAAUUCUCUGUAAUCUUCCACCAAAUAUUCUACUUGCUAAUAACUUUCUUUCUCUAAAACGUUCUAUUCUUCAUGUUGUUCCGUAUCUCAGUUCCACUUGUUAAUUCAAAUGAUUUUAUUAUUUCUUAAAGAAGCUUAAAAUUCACACAGAAAAAGCACCGUACUUUAUGUUUUCUUUAUUUAUUUUCCUUUCCCCUUUUUAAUCUUAAUCAUUAACAGUUCUUUUAAAAUAUUUGUCGUCAGAUACUUGUUACAGAGGGGGUUGUGCUUAGCCAGUGUGUGACUCUGGAAACCCCACGUAAAAUGUAUGGCAACAACUGAGUCCUAUCAAUACUUGCAACAUUACAUAAUCAAGAGAGAUGUCCUAUUCUGAAAAGGAGGUCCAUGAAGAACAAAGGAAUAGGAUGGCCCUAAACUGCUCAUAUCCUCCCAUAUCUGGAGAUAGAUUGCAUUGUACAGCAGUAAAAAGGUCAAUCAAGUACCCCAAUUAAUGAUAGUCGCUCUUUUCUCUUGUUGCUCACAUCCAUCCUUCUAUCUGAUUGGAAAUUUAGUUCUCUAAUUCAUCAGUUAUGUGCAACAAUUUAUAUUUGCAUUAAAAAAAUUUCUGAAUAUAUAUUCAAAAUGAAAUGCUCUUGAUCUUAUUUUUUUGCCUUUUACAUUGAAAACAUAUAACUCUUUUUCAUUAUUAUGCUAACAGAAAGGAAUAUUGAGUUUCAUCCUGCAGAUUCCAUGUCUGAAGUGAAUAUGGUGUUGGUUGUUCAUUCUCUAAUAUGGUGAUGGUGAAAAGAAGAUGAAAGGGCCUAGGAAAAGCAUGGUACAUAUGCUAUUUUCAUUUUUUAUCUUAUAUUUCCUAUUUUAAUUUUAAAAUAAAAUGGCUACUGGGCCAUGCCUUUUUAAUCAUAUCAACAUGGAAAAGCAGUCAAAAAGAGUUGGAAAAACAACCUGCUUAUGAUUACAUUCGUUGGUCUACCUAUAGAUCUUGGGUUGGAUAUGGUGCAGAGGAAGAUUUUUACAAACAAACCUAUUUAAGGUAUUUGGGACUAUCCUCUUCCAAACACAGGUGAUUAUUAGUCUAUUGAAUUGUAAGUCUGAUAUAAAAAACAAUCUCCAUUUCUAACUCAAAAUAUUGCUUUUGCUUCUUGAUAAUGAUGGAAUUUACUUUUUAGAUGCAGGAUGGCAAUCAAAGGGACUGAUGUAGAUGAAAGCAAAAUUCAUGGCCAUUGAUGCAGCUUAUUAGCAUCUGCAAAGGUAAAUAUCCUAAACAUGAAAGAGCAGUACUAAAUGCAUCAUUCUAGGCCAUGUAAAUUUAAAAAAAAAAAUUCAAUCAGGUCCAAAAAGAGUUUUAAGCCCAAUCGAAUUUGCCACCAGCUUCACAUGGCAAUAAUUUCACAUAGAGAUACAUGGUUGAUACACCUAUUAAAAGUCUUGUUGCAUUUUUUCUUUCUUUCUUUUUUCCGUUUUCAAUAUGCUUCAAUUUCAUGAUGCAAGGGGCCUUACAUCUGGUGG